UGGGUGUAUCUGUGUUGCGCGGUUCCGGCUGGUGUGCUCCUCGGCGUCGUCCUGGACAGGUGGAUGUGUGGGCGGCUGCGUGUGUGCGUGUGCUUUGGCGGUGCGUGGUGAGGUAGCGGGGUGGCCAGCGCGGUGCCCUGGUGAGCAGGUGGUUAGAUCCGGACGGAUUUGGCCAUGGUGGCUCGACGUUGGACUUGCUGGUGCAUGUAUGGUUUAUAAUCUGUCCGGACGGAAGAUUGUAGUUUGUGUAUAGUUUAUAAUCUGAGGAAAUGUUUGCCGUCUGUGUUAACCUUCAGUCUUGUACUGCUGAAGAUUGUAGUUUGUGUUGUAUCAUAUGUGGACAUGUUCUUUACUUCAAUCUAGACUUACGUGCCUUUGUGUUAAGUUGUCUUACAUCUCAAGUUUUGUAUUUUCAUGUUUCAUGAAUUAUGUGGGUAUGUGGCAGCCCACAUAAUACCACAUACAGUAUGUGGACAGCCCACUUAAUCCCACUUAAAUAAGUGGACAUAUGUGGCAGGAAAUGGGCACCUGCAGGUUGUCCCACCUACAAGCUGAGUGGAAGAGAGUUCGUAUUUGCCGUUGUAUGAUGAAAACUGGAUGCCACCAUGCUUAACGUGUAUUUCUAAAUAAAAAGAACAAUUUGAUCAAUCUGUUCUUAUUUCUAUUAUUCGGUGACAACUCAUGGUUAUUUGGAUCGAUUUUGCCCGUAGCAACGCACGGGCCUGACGACGAAAAAACUUUAGCUAAUUUUGAUAUCGAGAUCCUGGAGAAUCCAUCUGACGUAGUCAAAGACAAACGUCUUGCCCCAAUCACUAUCAUACCCACGGACCAACGUGAAUUACUUGCCGGCCUCUGCAACUACAUCAUGUCUAUCGAUGAUGACGGGUGUUUGGAGUAAGUAUCAUGUAUCAAUAUUUAAUGUGUGGAUUUAUAAUAUUUUUCUUCUUAUCAUCUAAUUUAUAGGAAGGUAUGGGUCCGGAGCUCGACACCCGAUCCAAUGGGCUUAAGUCUUAAGAAACUUCAGUGCAUACUUAACAUGGAGCAGACCAUGGACAAUGAUUGCUUCAACACAGCCGUGCGUAUGUUGGCAUGUGACGGGGGAGUAUUGUUCAUAGACCCUCCCGUGCACUACAUGUAUCUACGAUUUUGUGUAAAUUAUCUUAACUCUUCAUUCUAUAUGUCAUUACUAUCAACAUGUUGAAACAAUAUUUCUUUUUUUACUUAGUCCAUGAUGCUAGAGUCAACACGAGGUCAGAAGUUUUGCGAGAAGGAAACUAUCCAGAGGUUGGCAACAUUAUUUGAUACCUGGCCUGAGAUGGACAACGACAUCUCAUCGUGCAACAAGGUAAGUAAAGUAUUUUGUCCAUUGUUAUCAUGGUUUAUUGUUGUUUCUAAUACCUCCACUUGUAGAUUUAUCUUCCCUAUGCAUCCAUCGGCCGAUACAUUUUGUACGUCAUCGACAAAGAGGCACGUCGUCUAUAUAUUAUGGAUCCUAUUCAAACAUCACAAUCGUUAGAGGAGAAAAAUUGAGGCAUGCACUGAAAUUAAAAAGUUUUGCAAGGGAUUUCAAAGAAGCACUCAAAAUAAAGCUGCCUGGUUGGAAUUAUGAUCUAUCUAAAUGGCAACGUUUAUUUCCGUCCGGCAUUCCAACGAGUAUAGAUGGGUAAUGAAUUCAUAACAAAAACAAUUACUUUUGUUAUUACUGAAAGAUCGUGGAUGUCGCCUAGAGAGGGGGUGAAUAGGCGUUUUAAAAUAAUUACGAUUUAGGCUUGAACAAAUGCGGAAUAAACCUAGCGGUUAAUAUGUCAAGCACAAAACAUAAAACAACUAGACUCACCUAUGUGCACCAAUAACUUAUGCUAAGCAAGAUAAGCAACUAUGUGAUAGCAAGAUAUAUGACAAGAAACAAUAUGGCUAUCACAAAGUAAAGUGCGUGAGUAAAGGGGCUCGGGUAAGAGAUAACCAAGGCACGCAGAGACGACGAUGUAUCCCGAAGUUCACACCCUUGCAGAUGCUAAUCUCCGUUUGGAGCGGUGUGGAGGCACAAUGCUCCCCAAGAAGCCACUAGGGCCACCGUAAUCUCCUCACGCCCUCGCACAAUGCAAGAAGCCGUGAUUCCACUAAGGAACCCUUGAGGGCGGUCACUGAACCCGUACAAAUGGCAACCCUUGGGGGCGGUCACCGAACCCGUACACUUUGGCAACCCUUGGGGGCGGUCACCGGAACCCGUCAAAUUGCUCGGGGCGAUCUCCACAACCUAAUUGGAGACCCCGACGCUUGCCCGGAGCUUUACACCACAAUGAUUGAGCUCCAAACAACACCAACCAUCUAGGGCACCAAGGCACCCAAGAGGAACAAGCUCUAGGGUGCCCAAACACCCAAGAGUAAUAAGCUUCUCAAACUUCACUUCCACGUAUCACCGUGGAGAACUCAAACCGAUGCACCAAAGCAAUGGCAAGGGCACACGGAGUGCCCAAGUCCUUCUCUCUCAAAUCCCACCGGAGCAACUAAUGCUAGGGAGGAAAAUGAGAGGAAGAACAAGAAGGAGAACACCAAGAACUCCAAGAUCUAGAUCCAAGGGGUUCCCCUCACAUAGAGGAGAAAGUGAUUGGUGGAAAUGUGGAUCUAGAUCUCCUCUCUCUUUUCCCUCAAAAACUAGCAAGAAUCCAUGGAGGGAUUGAGAGUUAGCAAGCUCAAAGAAGGUCAACAAUGAGGGCAAAAACAAGCUCAAGAGAUAGGGAACCAUUGGGGAAGAAGACCCCCUUAAAUAGGUCCCCACGUAUCUGCCCGUUAUGUACAGAACAACAUAGGAGCGGUAUAACCUCUUUGAGCACCGGUACAACCGGUAACAGGCAAUAAGCGGUACAAUCGGCCCACAACCGCCCAACAACCGUACCACAACAGAGACCAGUCUGAUGGUAGAGCGGUACAUGACCGGUACAACCUCCGGACCAAUUCUGGAGCGGUAUAACUGCUCCAAACACCGGUUGUACCGGUCAAGCGGUACAACCUCUCCAUGGGGCGGUACAACCUCUCUGUGUAAAACAGGCAAUAUCAAAACAACCACAACUUUCGCAUGCGAGCUCCGAAUUCAACGAAACCAAGUUUGUUGGAAAGCUAACGACAAGGGCUAACACAAUCUUAAGAGAAAUAUCAAUAAGGAGAAAAUGAGAAAAGGACCAUAAUAAAAUGGUGAGAACCCUUUCUUGGAUAAUACCGGUAAAACCUCCAACACCGAAAACAUCAUAGAAGAUGCAUGCGAACUCCGUUUUCGAUGAACUCAAGCUUGUCAUCAAGAUGACCAUAAGAUCUAAGACUCACAAAUGGAACCAAACAAGAACCAAGAAAGAUGAUGCAAGGACGCAAUGGUUUGAGCUCUCGACUAAUGAUACGAUCAAGCUACUCCCUAGAGAGCCCCCCUUGAUAGUACGACAAUCGAUCCUACAACCCGGUCUCCCAACUACCACUACGAGACCGGUAAAAUAGAAAACCUAUCAAGGGCAAACCUUUGCCUUGCACAUAGUCCACUUGAGCUAGAUGAUGACGAUCUUGACUUUCUCAAGUUGGACCACCUUUCUUGAUUGUGUUGGCUCGAUGAAGACUAGUUGAUUGCUCCCCCAUACUCCAUUAUGGGUAAGCCACUCUUUGGCACAUCUUCACAAUUCCAUUGACACCACAAUGGACGGCAAGCUUCAAGCUUGAUUGCUCCCCCAUACUCCAUUAUGGGUGAGCCACUCUUUGAGUUGCUCCACUUGAACUUGCACACUGCAAACUUGAUGACGAUCACCACUUGAUGUCAUCCUCCAUGGGUUGUAUGAGAUCUUCCUCUUGACGCAAGACCAUGCAAACAUACCUAACCCCACAAAGAACUCUCACGUAGACCAUGGGUUAGUACACAAAGCGUAAUGGACAAUUCUUACCAUACCAUGGGAUCACUUGAUCCCUCUCGGUACUUCUUCUACGCUUUGUGAGUUGAUCAAUUUGAUUCACUCUUGACUUAGUCUUAAUCAACAUUGAAUCUUUCCAACUCUCUUCAUUUGGAUGCUGUUUUGAAGGUAAACAUGAAUGAUCACACAAUAUUCUUCUUCAAGACAUGCUUGCAAUAAGCUCAACUCACACAUGACCAAUCUUUGGAUAAUCCCUUGAAAAUCACUUUGGCCAUCUCAACUCACACAUGACCAAUCUUUGGAUAAUUCCUUGAAAAGCACUUUGGCCAUCUCAUAAACUCCUUGAAACCAACACAUGGACUUCAAGACAAUCCUAUGGACAAAUGCUUCAAAUAUAACUCAAGGCAACCGUUAGUCCAUAGAGAUUGUCAUCAAUUACCAAAACCACACAUGGGGGCACCGCAUGUCCUUUCAAUUACUAUAUUAUUUACAUUGUUAAUUUAAAGUUUUACAAGAAUUUGUCUGGCUAUUUUGUUUUUCAUUUUAUGCUCCGGUGGAACGGUGAAGAUUUGGUCAAGCCGAUUUGCGCGGUGAGUAUUGUUCGUUACAUGUUUUAAGACCUUCGGCAUGAAAUUUUCAUACUAACUACAUGUAUGCGUUUGUGCAGGAUGGGUAUGAAUUGAGGAAGCAGUUUUUGUUAUACUUGCUAAAACAUCGUGGGAAUGAAGGUAAAGGAAACUUACCGGAUAUUGUGAAAGAAUUUCUUAAGCGCAUCAUCUAGAUAUUAAUAGUUUUGUAAUAGAUGUUUAGUUGGAACAUCGCUCAGUAUGUUACAUGGACAUUUCUUUAAUUUUUCUUAUGUUAUCAAUUUACAUUGCAAAAAUAAACUUCAGUUAUUAAAUAAUUAUGUUUCUGUUAUAUUGUUUGUACAUGUGGAAUUUAACAUGUAACUCCUGCAAACUUUUUCAAAAUCCCGUGGCAACGCACGGGCACUCUACUAGUAGGUUUUAGAUUCAAACUGAAAGCGUAAAUUCACGUGAAGAAACGUAUUGUGAAAGCGUAAAUUCACGUGAAGAAACGUAUUGUGACGGUGAACCCACGGAGUCAAUCCGUGCUUUAUUAUUAGGGAAAGAUAAAACACGGAUUGACUCCGUGGGUUCACCUUCACAAUACGCUUUCUUCUCAUGUCAUAAUACGCUUCUUCUUAUCCGUUUUUCUUGAUUUUGAUAUUUUUCUUAAUAUCUGAGGUGGUACUAUUUAUUUAUUCAACGGUGCGUAUGAUUUUCCUGUACGUUGCUCGAUUGGGCCUCCGCAUGGCUGCUUUCUUCACUUGGUUGGGCCUCUGGCUGGGCUGCAUCGAGCCUCCGUCACAUAUAUCGUAGGCUGCUCAAACCGCCUUCUGGCGUCGCCGGGGUUCCCCGGCCGCCGUGUCUCUCUUUGAUGCCCCCCCUCCGUGCGUAGCUCGAUCCUUCUCCAAUUGCAGAUCUCAUCGCACGUUUGCCGCCAUGGAGCACGACGCUGUAGCAACACGGCCUCCUCAUCAGCCGCUGCGAACCCGAGCAGCCACACCAAUGUUACCCCGCCGCCGGCCAUCACCCGUGUUGUGCCUCCGCUAAGCCCUCGCCUUCCUCUGCUCGAGACCUCCCCAUCUUGCCUCACUCCUCUUCGGCCGUCAUUGGGUUCGACGGGCCGAGGCAGGGAGGCCGGGGAUAGCUGCUUGUACGGGCAGUGGGCAUGCUCGGUCCUGGAGGAGAAAGAAGUUGUUGCGGCUGUCGUGCGCAAUGGAAGCUGGAUACGGCGGUCGGCGGAUGGGAUGCAACGGCUGCAGGGGCAACGUCUUCGGCGGCCGGCGCCGGGGCAUUGGAUUCUACUUGUGCAUUACAGUCAGUUCGCAUGCUGACUGGACAGUGCGCUAGCUUGGUCUGUAGUUACUGUGUAGCUACCUGCUACCAGUGAUCGAAGUUGGAAGCUCAAUGUAAGUUGCCCACUUACCUUGUUUACUUGUGAUGGUUUUUCCAUGCGUGAUUCUUUGGGGCAUAGGAAUUUUACUAAAACAAGCUUGAUUUCCACAAGAAUCCGAACAAUUUCCUGGUCUGGUCUGAAAGAUACAUGUUUGGGUAGAUAGGUUUCAGUGAUUGAAAAUAUUGCAUGUUAUUAUUGGUGAAUAAGUUCAUGGACAAACAAAAUUGGAAGAUCAGGGAAAAAUUUGCUAUCAAUUUUUGAUUUGAUACUUUGACGUAUUCUGUUGUCGACAAAAUUAUAUUGUCGAACGAGGCCGGUAGCACAGGUAUUCAUAGAACGCUGAUAUUUGGCAGUUGUAGAAUAUCAUAUACAUUAUUUAUUUGAAAUAUGACAUCUUCAUUGUUACUGUAGAAUAUCAUAUACAUUAUUUAUUUGAAAUAUGACAUCUCCAUUGUUAAUACUGGAGCUGAAAAUAUAUUUCACAGCUACCUAAAUUAAUCCAUAGAGAUUGUCAUCAAUUACCAAAACCACACAUGGGGGCACCGCAUGUUCUUUCAAUCUCCCCCAUUUUGGUAAUUAAUGACAAUCACUUUCAAGAGAGUUUAUAUAAGGAAUUAUUUAUCACCAUGCAAUGCAACAAUCAAUAAUGCAUGUGUAUGAGAUGCAAAUGCUUAGGUACAAAACCAAAGUAAGAAGAAAAAAACUCUCUAAACUUAUUCACAAAACUCUCUGAAACUUCUCCCCCAUUGGCAUCGAUUUCCAAAAUUAGCAAAAAGCUUAGAAGGCCAAUAUAAAUUGUGAUCCUCCAUAAGUUGUGUAUUUCUCAACAAGAGAGUGGAAUGCAAUACACAUAUCCAACGGUAAUACUUGGAGGAAGACCAACUAUAUUGAGGCACCAAGAUUGCUAAAGGAAUGAUAUGCCACAAGGACAUAACAAAGAGAGACACAAGCAAUCAAGCAAUUAAAAGGUACCAAUUGAAGCAAGCAAUCAACGGGUAUCAAUUGAACCAACUAGACCAAAGAUCCUACGAGCUACAUGAAUAAAGGAUAUUAUGAUAUGAGCAAAGGAGUGUUCUAAAGAAACUAGAGAAGCUCCCCAUGAUUUGUGCACACAUAAGAAUUUUUGUAUUUGGAUACAAAGUGCACAAAAUAGGAUCACAGCUCCCCCAAAAUCAAUAGAAACUUACAACAAGUGCAAGUGAGCAUAUAGGAAACAAAACCUAGUACUUGCAACAAACACAUGGUUGAGCAACAAGUGAAAGAGGCAACUUAAGAAAGGGCUCAACAAAAAUGAUGUGUGUGAGUCAAGGCAAAACACUUGAGAAGACUAAAGUACGGAUGAGCAUUAAGCAUCAAUAAAGUCUUGAAAGAAUGAGGCACACGGUGCAAGGCCUAUCAUUCCCACACACAACUACAAAUGGGUUCACAAGCUUACUAAUAAGGAUAUAAAGAACAUAUGCUUGUGACAACCCGUCGUGAAGAUAGAAGAUGAAAGCCUCAUCAAGACGAGGGAUACCAAUUAAGAUGGCAAAAGCCUCGUAAAGAUAAGCAUGAGGAAAAUAAUCUUCACCACACAAGAGUGCAUCAAGAUGCAACGAUAGAAGACACGCACUCAAGGCAAAAGCUUUCACGGAGCCACCAAAGAAAUAACAUAAGAAAGACAAGGUGGACGUGAAAGAAAGGAUAUCAACUAGAUAUGCAACUUAUCUCAAGUGUAUAAGAUUCUAGGUAGACGAAAUCAUGAUGAUAUAUAUCUACAAAGAAGGAUGUACACCCGAAAUAGUUACAACACGAGGAACAAGAUAUCCAAAGGGAGGUCAUACAUAUACCAAUAAGAUAUUUUCUUGAGAGCAUAGCACAUGGCUAGAUAUGGUCUUAUUGUAUAUAAAUGAAUUCCAACCACACGAACAUCAAAGACAUCACAACUAGCAACAAGACAUCAUUGUUGAGAUGCUUUGAGAAAGGAAACAAGUAUCACUAGAAAGAAUGGAUAACAUGCCAUGAUACAACCUACACAAGGUUGAUGCAAGAAAUGUGUGCAUGAAGUAUAUGAAGAUACUUGUUACUGAGAUAACAUUGGAAGGAUGUAGUAGAUACCAAUUGAAGGUACAAAGUAGUUCAUUGAUCAUCCUAGCUUGACUCCAAUAAGCACAUGGUGACAACACCUUCCUUGUGAGUGAGCCGAGCAUCCAAUGCAUCUCCACUUGUUCCUAGAACAACAACACAAACAAAAUGGUACCCAAACUCAUUGGGACCAAAGAGUUAGAGAACCAACAACACAUAGGACAAACUCCACAUAAAUAUGUGCAUAUAGAUAUGAAAAUGAAUUUCAUGCACAUCUCAUCCAAUUUGAGACUUGGUGGAGUUCCCCCUAUAUAUUGGGUCAAAGAAAGAAAACAUGCCAAAGAAACUACAAGAAGUAAAUAUGCAUGCUCAAGACUUUCAAGAACCGAGACCAAAAGACAAAGAAAUACCAAGCGAAGAAAAGAUACCAAAUGAAUAAAUCAUCACUUGGAGGAUAUCCAUAAAAGAUACAUCAAGGAAUGAGAUAUCCAUUGAUACACUCAAAAAGAAAGAUGUCAAACUCCCAAAAUAGAGAAUGGUUCCAAACAAACCAAGCCCUCUACAAAGUUUCAUGAUGGCACAAAGUACCAAAAAGAAACGGCUUGCCUUCCACAAACACACACUUGAUAAGGAUCACAAGAUGAGUGUUUUAUAGAGAAUAGGAUAGCUCCCCCAAGACUAAUGCAUUAUAGAGAAUUUGCAUUUGAAUACAAAAUGCACGAGGUGGGAUCACCCCUUUCACUAUAUCUAGAAAACACUAGACAAGGUCAAGAAAUUAACAAGAUCCACAAGUGGUAUGGAAUACAAUGGGAGUUGACACAACCCUAGGCAAGAGAUAAAGCAAAGGCCAAUGUAAAGAUGAUCAAUAAUUUCUACCACACAUAAGUGAGUACCAAUUGUCAAAAUACAAGAAGUAUUUGGGAAUAAUUCCCGGUGGUAGAUAACAAGGAUAUCCGACAUAAUCUUCACACCAAACAAAAAGCAAAUUGCAACUUGUAGAGCUAACAUGCCACCUAGGAACAAGAUAAUUUACAAUAUCAAUUCUAGGUGACAAUAUCUCAAAUGUACACAUUUUCUAGGCUAGUAAUAUACACAUAGCAUAUUACUCCCCCAUAAUGUGAUAUUCCAUUAAUCUCUCACAAGAGCCAACUAAGAAAAGAACAAGAUGCAAAAGGCUCAACGCAUGACACACACGUACAUGAUGUGCAAACCAACACACACAUACUUGAUUGCUCAAGAUAAUCAAGUUGGAAGCACAACAUAUACAAACACAUGCAAGGAACAAAACCAAAACAUGCAAGGGGUCAAGUAACUUUCAAUGUAAGCAAUUGAGGUACAAGUUACCGCAAGGAAGCACAUUGGAUAUAAGAUAUAAUCUUGAUGAUUCAAUUGACUUGGCUUGAGACAAUAAGAAUGAUGAAGUACCCUUAAUUCUUCAUAAUGUAGCCAAGUCUCCAAUGACCUCCAACAUCACCUAUUGAUCAAGUUUGAGCUUGUUGGUCCCCAACCAAGUUGGGUCCUAAGAGGUUAGUCACAAUAGGCUUGGCUACCCAAAUUGUUCUUUGCUUCAAACCACUUUGAGUACCAACAAACUUGGCAACCACAUUGCCAACCUUAUCCUUCCCAAGAGAAUAGACAUCAUCAAUAAUAAUUGGGUUGGAUAAGUUACCACUAGUGCAUGAAGAGGCGAGGUGACCUUUCUCGCGACAUAGGUAGCAAUGUCUACUCCUCACUUUCUUCUCACUUGAUUUCUCAACUUGAGAAGCAUAAGCUUGAGUCUUCUUGAGAAGAGGCCUUUCUUCAACUUGAGGUUUAGCAUGAGAAUGAACUUGUGGCCUCUUCCCUUGUUGCUUGUCAUUAACGGACUUCUUCUUCAAUGGGCAAGAUCUAACAUGAUGCCCUUCAAUUUUGCACUUGAAGCAAAUAAUCUUGGCCGAAUUCUUGACUUGUUCUUGGCCCUUCUUCUUGAUCAUGUUGGACUUCUUCUUAUUGGAGUUGAAUCCAAGUCCACCUUUGUCAUUGGGGGAUUUUUGCACACUCAAGAUAUUGUUGAGUGUGGAUUUCCCUUCAUGACUCUUUUCCAUGUCUUUCUUCAAAGAAGUGACUUGGGCCUUGAGCUCUUUGAUUUCCUCUACACGGUUAGUCUCAACACAAGUACUGGAGGAAGUAUAAGCUUCAUCGUUAGAACAACACGGCAAGGAAAGCAAUUCAUCACAAGAUGUACCAACAUUGUGAGUAGAUGAAUUACAAGGACUAGCACAUGGCAAUAUAGCAUUUUGACUAGAAGUAGUGCUAGUAUCCACAUGAGGCUCACUAGAUGUUACCUUAGCAAGCAUGGCCUCAUGAGCUAAUUUUUGCACAUUAUGGGAUACUAGAAGAUCAUCAUGAGAGCUUGUGAGCUUUACAUGAUUUUCUUCCAACAUUCCAUAAUUGCUAGAUAGCAACUCAAGUUGAGCCCGAAGCUCAAGAUUCUCCUUCAAAAUGGAUGCUUCACAAGUAAUAGAGUUAGUAUCCCAAGCAUCAUCAUUAACAACAAUAGGAGAGGACACCUUGGCAAGCUCUUUUAAGUAAGAAGCUUCAAGUUGAGCAUGAGACUCGGUGAGUUUUAUGAGCUCACCCUUGAUGACCCUUGAGCCAUUUUCGAGGUGCUCAAAAUCCUAAAGGAGUCUAGCACGAGCAACUUCAAGCUUAGCAUUUUUAGUUUUGAAAUCAUUGGCCACCUCGAGUGCUCUAUCAUGAGAUUCCUUUAUUCUAGAUAAUUCUAUAGCAAAGGUCUCCUCAAGAGAUUCGGAUGAGGUUUGUUCAUGUUCAAGAGCUUGAGAUAGCUCCGCGAUCUCACUUGCGUAAUCACGCUCAUGAGCUUCCAUUUUCUCAAUGGUGACCUCAUGCUCCUCUAGAUGAGAUUCCAACUCCUCAGUGUAUUUCUUGCCUUCAAUGGCAAUAGACAUGAUUUCCAUGAAGUUGAAACGAGCAAGUUUAUUUUUGUGAAGAGCUUUAAAAAUCAUUUCCCCCUUAGUUUUUAAGGAGGCAACAUUAUCAUUCUCUUCAUAAUAAUCAACAUCAUCAUCACUCUUGCCAUCAUCAAUAUCAUCACAAGAUAUAUUGGGAUUCAAAGUAGGAGAUACCUUUGAAGCCUUGGCCAUAAGGCAAAAUGUAAUAGAUGAUGAUGUAGGAUCCGUUGAAGGACCAUUCAAGACCACAUCUUGUUCCAUGGGGUGUUGGGUUUCCUCUACAUUGUUAGCACAACAAUUCGAGGAAAUAUAUGCAUUUUUAUCAUGGCAACAAGACAUAGUAAACAUAUCAUCAUGAGAUUUAGUCAAGCAAUUUCUACAUGAUAUGAAAGGACUAUCAACACAAGCAUAUAAAGCAUUUCGAGUGCUCAAAGUGUUAAAGCCCAAAGAAGGAGCAUUGCAAUAAGAUAGUGAUGAAGGAUCAUCCACAAUAAGCAUACUAUCAUCAUUGCAAUGACCAACACUACUCAACAUAUCAUUACCUUGUGGCAAACCACAUGUAGGUGAAGUAGAAGAAGUUGAGAAGACUAUACAACCGGAGGUGGAGGGAGAACAAUCAUCCCCACAAAUCUUGGACACACCAUAUUUUUCUUGAAGCUUCGUCCACAACUCAUGAGCAUCCCGGAACGACAUGAGUUGAAAUAUAACUACAUUGCUCAAAGCAUCGAAAAGCACAUUAGAAGCUUGAGCAUUGAGAUAAGAGUUUUUCUCAUCCUCUAAAGAUAAUCUUUGGGGAUCCUUUGGAGGAGAAAAACCCAUAUCUACAAUUCGCUCUAAAUUUGAGUCCAUGACCCUAAAGAGAUUAAGCAUGCGAAUUACUCAAACAUCAAAAUUUGUGCCAUCGAAACUAAGAGUGUCAGAGAAUCCUAAUCCCCUAGUCGACAUCUUUACUCUCUAGGCGGUAAAGCUUAAUAAAGAGAGACGAGGCUCUGAUACCAAUUGAAAGAUCGUGGAUGUCGCCUAGAGGGGGGGUGAAUAGGCGUUUUAAAAUAAUUACGAUUUAGGCUUGAACAAAUGCGGAAUAAACCUAGCGGUUAAUAUGUCAAGCACAAAACCUAAAACAACUAGACUCACCUAUGUGCACCAACAACUUAUGCUAAGCAAGAUAAGCAACUAUGUGAUAGCAAGAUAUAUGACAAGAAACAAUAUGGCUAUCACAAAGUAAAGUGCGUGAGUAAAGGGGCUCGGGUAAGAGAUAACCAAGGCACGCAAAGACGACGAUGUAUCCCGAAGUUCACACCCUUGCAGAUGCUAAUCUCCGUUUGGAGCGGUGUGGAGGCACAAUGCUCCCCAAGAAGCCACUAGGGCCACCGUAAUCUCCUCACGCCCUCGCACAAUGCAAGAAGCCGUGAUUCCACUAAGGGACCCUUGAGGGCGGUCACUAAACCCGUACAAAUGGCAACCCUUGGGGGCGGUCACCGAACCCGUACACUUUGGCAACCCUUGGGGGCGGUCACCAGAACCCGUCAAAUUGCUCGGGGAGAUCUCCACAACCUAAUUGGAGACCCCGACACUUGCCCGGAGCUUUACACCACAAUGAUUGAGCUCCAAACAACACCAACCGUCUAGGGUGCCAAGGCACCCAAGAGGAACAAGCUCUAGGGUGCCCAAACACCCAAGAGUAAUAAGCUUCUCAAACUUCACUUCCACGUAUCACCAUGGAGAACUCAAACCGAUGCACCAAAGCAAUGGCAAGGGCACACGGAGUGCCCAAGUCCUUCUCUCUCAAAUCCCACCGGAGCAACUAAUGCUAGGGAGGAAAAUGAGAGGAAGAACAAGAAGGAGAACACCAAGAACUCCAAGAUCUAGAUCCAAGGGGUUCCCCUCACAUAGAGGAGAAAGUGAUUGGUGGAAAUGUGGAUCUAGAUCUCCUCUCUUUUUUCCCUCAAAAACUAGCAAGAAUCCAUGGAGGGAUUGAGAGUUAGCAAGCUCAAAGAAGGUCAACAAUGGGGGCAAAAACAAGCUCAAGAUAGGGAACCAUUGGGGAAGAAGACCCCCUUAAAUAGGUCCCCACGAAUCUGCGCAUUAUGUACAGAACAACAUAGGAGCGGUAGAACCUCUGUGAGCACCGGUACAACCGGUAACAGGCAAUAAGCGGUACAACCGCCCAACAACCGUACCACAACAGAGACCAGUCUGAUGGUAGAGCGGUACAUGACCAGUACAACCUCCGGACCAAUUCUGGAGUGGUACAACUGCUCCAAACACCGGUUGUACCGGUCAAGCGGUACAACCUCUCCAUGGGGCGGUACAACCUCUCUGUGUAAAACAGGCAAUAUCAAAACAACCACAACUUUCGCAUACGAGCUCCGAAUUCAAUGAAACCAAGUUUGUUGGAAAGUUAACGACAAGGGCUAACACAAUCUUGAGAGAAAUAUCAAUAAGAAGCAAAUGAGAAAAGGACCAUAAUAAAAUGGUGAGAACCCUUUCUUGGAUAAUACCGGUAAAACCUCCAACACCGAAAACGUCAUAGAAGAUGCAUGCGAACUCCGUUUUCGAUGAACUCAAGCUUGUCAUCAAGAUGACCAUAAGAUCUAAGACUCACAAAUGGAACCAAAUAAGAACCAAGAAAGAUGAUGCAAGGACGCAAUGGUUUGAGCUCUCGACUAAUGAUACGAUCAAGCUACUCCCUAGAGAGCCCCCCUUGAUAGUACGACAAUCGAUCCUACAACCCGGUCUCCCAACUACCACUACGAGACCGGUAAAAUAGAAAACCUAUCAAGGGCAAACCUUUGCCUUGCACAUAGUCCACUUGAGCUAGAUGAUAACGAUCUUGACUUCCUCAAGUUGGACCACCUUUCUUGAUUGUGUUGGCUCGAUGAAGACUAGUUGAUUGCUCCCCCAUACUUCAUUAUGGGUAAGCCACUCUUUGGCACAUCUUCACAAUUCCAUUGACACCACAAUGGACGGCAAGCUUCAAGCUUGAUUGCUCCCCCAUACUCCAUUAUGGGUGAGCCACUCUUUGAGUUGCUCCACUUGAACUUGCACACUUUAAACUUGAUGACGAUCACCACUUGAUGUCAUCCUCCAUGGGUUGUAUGAGAUCUUCCUCUUGACGCAAGACCAUGGAAACAUACCUAACCCCACAAAGGACUCUCACGUAGACCAUGGGUUAGUACACAAAGCGUAAUGGACAAUUCUUACCAUACCAUGGGAUCACUUGAUCCCUCUCGGUACUUCUUCUACGCUUUGUGAGUUGAUCAACUUAAUUCACUCUUGACUUAGUCUUAAUCAACAUUGAAUCUUUCCAACUCUCUACAUUUGGAUGAUGUCUUGAAGGUAAACAUGAAUGAUCACACAAUCUUCUUCUUCAAGACAUGCUUGCAAUAAGCUCAACUCACACAUGACCAAUCUUUGGAUAAUCCCUUGAAAAUCACUUUGGCCAUCUCAACUCACACAUGACCAAUCUUUGGAUAAUUCCUUGAAAAGCACUUUGGCCAUCUCAUAAACUCCUUGAAACCAACACAUGGACUUCAAGACAAUCCUAUGGACAAAUGCUUCAAAUAUAACUCAAGGCAACCGUUAGUCCAUAGAGAUUGUCAUCAAUUACCAAAACCACACAUGGGGGCACCGCAUGUCCUUUCAAUUACUAUAUUAUUUACAUUGUUAAUUUAAAGUUUUACAAGAAUUUGUCUGGCUAUUUUGUUUUUCAUUUUAUGCUCCGGUGGAACGGUGAAGAUUUGGUCAAGCCAAUUUGCGCGGUGAGUAUUGUCCGUUACAUGUUUUAAGACCUUCGGCAUGAAAUUUUCAUACUAACUACAUGUAUGCGUUUGUGCAGGAUGGGUAUGAAUUGAGGAAGCAGUUUUUGUUAUACUUGCUAAAACAUCGUGGGAAUGAAGGUAAAGGAAACUUACCGGAUAUUGUGAAAGAAUUUCUUAAGCGCAUCAUCUAGAUAUUAAUAGUUUUGUAAUAGAUGUUUAGUUGGAACAUCGCUCAGUUUGUUACAUGGACAUGUCUUUAAUUUUUCUUAUGUUAUCAAUUUACAUUGCAAAAAUAAACUUCAGUUAUUAAAUAAUUAUGUUUCUGUUAUAUUGUUUGUAUGUGUGGAAUUUAACAUGUAACUCCUGCAAACUUUUUCAAAAUCCCGUGGCAACGCACGGGCACUCUACUAGUAGGUUUUAGAUUCAAACUGAAAGCAUAAAUUCACGUGAAGAAACGUAUUGUGACGGUGAACCCACGGAGUCAAUCCGUGCUUUAUUAUUAGGGAAAGAUAAAACACGGAUUGACUCCGUGGGUUCACCUUCACAAUACGCUUUCUUCUCAUGUCAUAAUACGCUUCUUCUUAUCUGUUUUUUCUUGAUUUUGAUAUUUUUCUUAAUAUCCGAGGUGGUACUAUUUAUUUAUUCAACGGUGCGUUUGAUUUUCCUAUACGUUGCUCGAUUGGGCCUCCGCAUGGCUGCUUUCUUCACUUGGUUGGACCUCUGGCUGGGCUGCACCGAGCCUCCGUCACAUAUAUCGUAGGCUGCUCAAACCGCCUUCUGGCGUCGCCGGGGUUCCCCGGCCGCCGUGUCUCUCUCUGAUGCCCCCCUCCGUGCGUAGCUCGAUCCUUCUCCAAUUGCAGAUCUCAUCGCACGUUUGCCGCCAUGGAGCACGACGCUGUAGCAACACGGCCUCCUCAUCAGCCGCUGCGAACCCGAGCAGCCACACCAAUGUUACCCCGCCGCCGGCCAUCACCCGUGUUGUGCCUCCGCUAAGCCCUCGCCUUCCUCUGCUCGAGACCUCCCCAUCUUGCCUCACUCCUCUUCGGCCGUCAUUGGGUUCGACGGGCCGAGGCAGGGAGGCCGGGGAUAGCUGCUUGUACGGGUAGUGGGCAUGCUCGGUCCUGGAGGAGAAAGAAGUUGUUGCGGCUGUCGUGCGCAAUGGAAGCUGGAUACGGCGGUCGGCAGAUGGGAUGCAACGGCUGCAGGGGCAGCGUCUUCGGUGGCCGGCGCUGGGGCAUUGGAUUCUACUUGUGCGUUACAGUCAGUUCGCAUGCUGACUGGACAGUGCGCUAGCUUGGUCUGUAGUUACUGUGUAGCUACCUGCUACCAGUGAUCGAAGUUGGAAGCUCAAUGUAAGUUGCCCACUUACCUUGUUUACUUGUGAUGGUUUUUCCAUGCAUGAUUCUUUGGGGCAUAGGAAUUUUACUAAAACAAGCUUGAUUUCCACAAGAAUCAGAACAAUUUCCUGGUCUGGUCUGAAAGAUACAUGUUUGGGUAGAUAGGUUUCAGUGAUUGAAAAUAUUGCAUGUUAUUAUUGGUGAACAAGUUCAUGGACAAACAAAAUUGGAAGAUCAGGGAAAAAUUUGCUAUCAAUUUUUGAUUUGAUACUUUGACGUAUUCUGUUGUCGACAAAAUUAUAUUGUCGAACGAGGCCUGUAGCACAGGUAUUCAUAGAAUGCUUUUUUGUGUUCUUUCCUGAUAUUUGGCAGUUGUAGAAUAUCAUAUACAUUAUUUAUUUGAAAUAUGACAUCUUCAUUGUUACUGUAGAAUAUCAUAUACAUUAUUUAUUUGAAAUAUGACAUCUCCAUUGUUAAUACUGGAGCUGAAAAUAUAUUUCACAGCUACCUAAAUUAAUCUAUUUUGUUAUUUAUUACUGACUUUUUGACUCCCAGGUCCAAAGAAAAAAGUUCUGCAAAUGCAACCUUAUGUAUGAAUGUACAAAACAUUUGUUGGUUAACCAAUAGAAAUGAUCAGCAAAAGUAUUUCAUCAUACGAAGUAGCCAUGUGACAAUAUCUAGAUUUUUCAUCAUCAAACAUCUUCCUUCGACACAUCAUAACUUCGUCAAACAUUGAAGAAAGGCCUUUUUUUUGUGAUUUCACAUUCCACGUGGCUGUAAGUGUUUAUUAAUGCUAGCAAGUAAUUCAAGCCUUGACUUGCUCUUGCCAACUGGGUGAAGAAUCAUUAUGAGAAACAACCAGAUCACUCCACUAGGUUAAAAUUAAAAAAUCCAAUAGCUUAUGCAGCCUAUAAUUAGCUUUUCAAGAUUAUUAGAUGAUUUCUGUCAAGAUAAAUACAUGGAUACUCCACUAUCUACAAUUUUGUAAUUUUUGCUCCGUGUUUAAUUCAACUCCAUGUUGACUGCAUCUUCAAACAAUCCGAAAUAUUGUCCGAACAAACUAACUCUUGGUGACUCUUUUAUUCUUGUUGGAAGCUAAAUUGACCAUUGUAGAGGAUUUUGAUAACCGAACUUCAAAAAACAAGCAAAAUGUUCUGAAUCACGUGUACUGCUCUAAAUUAUCAAAAUGAUCAGGUGUCCUGCUAUAUGAACCUCCAGGCAUUGGGAAGGUAGGUGUACUGAGUUUUCUACUUUGUCUGAAUUGAGUUUUCAUUCCCAUUUUCCAAAAGUUAGUUGUAUUCAACAGCAACAUAUACAUGCUAACUGGGAUGUUUUCUUGUGAAUUUUUAGACAUUACUUGCGAAAGCAGUAGCAAAUGAGUGCUCAUUAAACUCUCUUAGCGUAAAAGGUCCAGAACUAAUAAACAUGUAUGUUGGAAAAUCAGAGAAGAAAUAUCAGGGACAUCUUUGAUAAGGUAGAUCGAUAUGCAAAAGCUAUGUAAUUGCCAUGAAAUAUGCACAUACACUCAGGUUUUCAGUUUUCACUAUCAAUUUUAGGCUAGAUCGGCACACCCAUGAGUAAUUUUCUUUGAUGAGCUUGAUCCCCUCGUUCCUGCAUGAGGGUCCUCUGCAGAUUCUGGCGGUGUGAUGGAUAUAGUGGUUUCUCAGGUAUAAUUAAUGGCAUCAACGAGGUGGUGACUGUUGUCUCAGUCUUCCCUCUCUUUUUUUACUUGCGCCUCAGUUUCCCUCUUAUUUUCAUUGUUUAAAUGUUAGAUUAAGCUAAUUUAGUUUCCUUUUUUCUCUCUUUACUAGCAAAAAUGCCUGACAGAGAUGCAUAUGUUUGGCAUUCUAUCAGAGUAUCAGUAAACAUACACUUGUGCUAGCUUGCAGUACUACAUUUUAUGAUUGUGUAGUAUCCACAGCACUACUAAUCAUUAAGUCCGUUGCCUUGUCAUGUAAUUGUGUCAAAUGCACACCAAUACUGAUGCUCUAUGCUCUUGCCUGAGAGCACGUGUUGUGCUUUGCAUCAUCUAACAAAUAUGUAAACUCUGUAAGUAUAAACAGACUUUAGCACUGUGAUCCAAUAUGUAUUUAUUUAGUAGUGGACUAAUGUAUGUAUUUGGUAUGCUUGCAAGUGCUUAUUUAUUACUUGCACCAGAAAUACCAAUAAGUUACUAUUGAAAAUUCAAAUAUGCUAUCAGAAAAAUGAAGACACACACACGCACUGGUCUCAACUAGCUCAACUGCUAUGCUGCCACCGCCCUCCCCUAAGAGCAUGCAACCCUACAGCAAAGCGGGUUCUGCACCUCGAGCACUCAACCCUAAGAUGGAUUUGGUUCUGCAUCCCAUCAUUUCCUCCCAUUGCAAUGCACGGGCUCAAAUCGACUUUGUUUACCGGUUCACUUUUGUAGUGCCUCUUCUGGUGAUCACAUCUGUUGUUUAUUCCAAGAAAGAAACAUGUAUGCAAUUUUUGGGUUUGUUGUGAAGUUUGUAGGAUAUUGUAGGAAUCGAUCAUGAACUUGAUGCCAUAUCCAAGAAAGGUGAGGCUGCUUUGGGAGGGCGGGCGUGAGCCGUACUUAGCCGGUUGAUUAGCCGACUUUUGAUUUGUAUCACUACCACUGGCUUGAUCUCCGUACAUAGAUGUAUGAUGUGCAUGUAAAAUCUAAGUUUUGGAUUAGUAUCAUUCUUAAUUCUCAAGAGCAAAUAGGAGAAUACAUUGUCACAAAUUGUACUACCCUGCUGAGUGGUUUCCUGAUAAAUCUCAGUUUGUUCUUAAUGGGCAGAUGAUAUUUUUUUGUAGUAAUAUGUAUUGAAGAUUUAUAAUGGAAAUGUGCAUAUAAUUAGCUGUUUUGUUAACAAUUUAGAUUUCUGUUGCAAAUAAUUAUGUUUCAUCUUUUCUUCAUCUACUAUACUCCAAAUUUGAAGGUUGAUGUUAUACAAAUUUUACCGAACUAAGAAAUAUUGGUUGUGAGAAAUUUUUCAUUAUGUAACAAUGCACAAACAUCAGGAAGCAAUUCGUGGAAGGCAGCCCUCACAGUCUAGCUCGACAAGAUUAGUUUUCUAAGUUUCAUCGCCUUGAGAUUGACCUUGUUCAGAUGCGCCGUGACAAGGUGAACGGCCUAUGUCGGUGACGACGAAAGGAUGAUAACUACGAGAUGGAUGGGUCACCGUGUUCAAGUGGAUGUCGCAGAUUGUGUGUGUGGUGACGGGUUGUGAUGUUUUCAUUUUUCCCCGUUGCAACACAUGCUUCCCCCGUUGCAACGCACGGGCAUGUUUACUAGUUACAUAUAACUAUUGUACUCCACAAUUUACUCCGGAGCCAAUCGUUGCUAGGAUCAACGGUGCAUGUACGGCAUACAUUACCGCAACGCCCACCUCAAAGCAACAACGCAAACAACAGGUUACAGAUGAAAGGAAACCAAACAUAAAUUAUCUACCACGGGAGCAGAGGCGGUGGCGCCUGGAGUAAAGGCAUUUGCCCCACCGGCGUGCUCGAUUGGGGAGGAGGAGGCGCCUUGGGCGUCCUCGUCCCUAACGACCUCAUUCUCCCCACCUUGACUCUCCGCCCACCACCAUGGAGGGCUCUCUCCGCGGUGUGCCGCUUGACGUCUCCACCGCAGCGUCGGGGCACGACGAAUCGGCGACAGACAUGAUGCAGGCGCAUAGCAGGAGGGCCGCUACGAGCAACGAAAUGGUGGCCAUGACUAGUGGCGGAGUGGUGCAGUAGCUGGAGCCGGGAGGUGGUGGUGCAAGUGUGCUGGUGUGGUGCCUGAUGAUCAUGGACUCGAGCCAUUUAUAUACGCGAUGGACGAGGCUGGAAACCCCUCUUCUGGAUUGUGCCUCCCGGAGCAAAAAAUAUAACGGAUUCUCGGUAAAAUGAUUAAUCGCAAUACUCUGUUGAGGUCCACAUGCUUUUGUUGGAUUCGGGAUCGUGACCGACAUUUUGCAACCAGAAUGGUGGCAUACAGCAUCUUGACAAGCAGAAACUGUGAGGUUCGAUGCACCACGUAGCUAAGCUAUCCGUGCCUAACUUCAACUUUGUUUCGGACGAGAAUUAAUUGAUGAAGUGUGGCGAACUCGCAACCAUCAUCAAGUUGCAUGAUUGAACAGCUUUUCUUUCUGGAGACCACUAGGGAUCCGACUACUGAUCCAUGCUUCUUAUCAGACUAGUGUACAGCCGUUGGAUUAAAUGGAUGGGAGUCGUUCGAUUGUGUACCGGAGCCCGCAUAGAAUUAGUUGAUCCCUGCACUAAUUACGUGCAUCCUCAUAACUGCUCCCGUGAAGCAGUCUGAUAGCCCAUAAAUAAACUAAGAGAAAAUGGCAUAACUGACGCAUCAAAAAAGCAUAAUAUCCAUCCCCCACCUGCGGUGGGGAUGAAGUGCGAGAGAAAUCCUUGCCGGUUCUUCGGCUCCGAUGCGGUGACACCUGCGGGUGCCAUCAUUCCUUCCUGAAGGGUGUCGGUGAUAUCCAUCCCCCACCCCCCUCUGCGUGUCGGGGGAAACUCUAUGACAUGUCCGGGCAGCAGCGAUGUCGGCGCCGUAUUCCUUCUUGGAGGUGUUGCUUGGUACACGGCGGUUCGGAGCCUCGGGUUGUGGUGGUUUGUUUCUGGAGGGCGUAGCGGUGGCGGGUCAUCCGCACUUUGUCAAGCUGCCGUUGUUGGCAUUUGUUUAUUCUUCUUUUUCUUUUGGGAUUGAUGUACUGUUCGCCCCAGCGAUCCUUGUAUUGGUGUUGGUUGCUUUGGAAUACAAAGUGGGGGAAACCCCUUUUUCGGUAAAAGGCAUAAUAUUUUGGAUUAUAUAAUUUUUGUUAUUGGAAGCAGCACCACCGUGGGCAUUGACAUGGUGGAUGCAUGGCGAACAUGGUUUUCGAACCACUUGAUGCAUCCACCUUAUUUACAGUAACGACUGCAUCCACCAUACGAGAAGUAUGCAUCCACCUUAGGUGCCAUUUGCAUCCAGCGUAUUAAUAGAUUUUCCUUUCUUCCGCCGUGAUGGAAAUUUGGUUUGAUUUAGCAUGAUUUUUUGUACUGUGUGCCAAUAUACUUUGCUUCCAAACCAAUAUGAAACUAUUUUCAUUGACUCAAGAAUAGCUUCCAUGAAAAUAUGGAUUUGUUUCAUCGAUUAGAAAAUGUUAUAUUGAUUUCAAUCACCAUGCUUCCUCACUGAUCAAUAUUGCUUCCAUUAAAUAGAGAAUUUGCUUCCAUGAUGAUCAUGAAGCAAUACAAAAAAAAUUCAAGUGGUAAUGACGUAUUUUAUCAUUGUUCAGGUUAUUGGCUUCCCACAUAGUGCUGGUGCAUGGUGUAGCACGAGGUAAUGUGUCCGCACAUUGCAUUGAUGCCGAAGAUAUCAUGGCACCAGGACAAUGUGAGGAAUCAUAUGAGAAUCCAGUGAAACAUGGUUGGCAUUGUGUACAGUAAAACAUAUAUGUAAUAUAGAAGAACAUACAAGAAAACAAGGAAGCAUGACUUCUUUUGAAAAAAGAGGCGACAUUGAAUAAUAUUGUACUUAUUUAAACAAUAAAAUACAAACUAUUACAACAACGUUGUUUUCACAUCCUCUAGCCAGCAUCACAGAGGACGUUGAAUGGAGCAUCUCACAUGCACUGUGAGCUUGCCAUCAUCAACAAGGCAAUCACGUCUCGGCUAUAUUGCAGCCGACAUAUUCACAACACAUCAGGCUGUAGAGAAAUCUGCAUAGUAAAAGCAUCAAUGAGAAACAAUCAAGCACACAUAGUGUUCAGUGGUUGAGACAAAAGUUCACUCCGAAAAGCAACACCGGCAAUGGUUGAAGGGCACACAGGGGGUAGUGGGUGAAGCAAAACUAUGUGAGAAAUCAAAAGUAGGAAGCAUGGCAACACGAAGCAAUUAUUGGAUGCGCAUGCGCCAGAAGCAUAAAAGAUCGAUUUGACAGAUCUGCAUACUUGCUGGGCAAGAUUUUUGUGCUAAAAUUUAAUGUCUGUGAAAUAUUGUUUCAGUUCCGCACUACAUCUCUACACUAGAGGCAUAUGUUAAAACUCAAGGAAGCAUGGUUAACAAGAAGCACUAAUUUGGUUCUAUCAUAACAUAUAUGAGACGCAUCCGAAGCAUACAUAUUUGAAUUCACAAAUUAACAUGCCAGAGAACAUAUGCACAUUUGAUGCAGUACAUCUAAUUAGAUGUGGACAUGAACAAAGUGUUUCUAAAUCAUUCGCAACAUAUGGGAGGAAAAUUUUGUGCAUACUAUACUUCAGUGCUUCAAAACUACAAACAAACAGAGAAAGCAGGAAGCAUUAUUAACAUGAGUUUGCACUGAAGAAAUACAAAAAGGAGACAUAGGAAACAUGUGUUAUUUGGAAGAAAAAAUGAACACAAUCCCAAAACACCCGUGCUUAUAUGCCAAAGCAUCAAAGUCAUGAUGUCUCAACAUACCUGAUAGUUAGUAAAAGCAUUGCAAUUAAAAUUUGAAAAUUAGAAGUGCUUGCCGUCAACAGGUGGGUGCAUAAUUUUGUGAUAUACUCUGUAUGAGUCAAUGACAUCAAAACUGCAAAAUAAAAUGGUGAUUUUGUUAGUUUACAUAGUAAAACGACAUCAAACAUUAAUCAAUACAUGUCGGGUGGUAGGUGCGACAUAUGCCAACGGGUGGCUUAUCAUUGUGGGUGCCAGUAAGACGUCGCCGGUGCCUGGAAGCGGGAUGAGGCGAAGACAUGCACGCCGGCGAAUCUUACCCAGCUUCGGGGCUCUCCGUGGAGAUAACACCCCUACUGCUGCUUUGCGGGGUCUCCGCAUGAUCACUGGAUGAACAAGCAGAUACACGAUGCUCCUUGAGCUGUUUGGUGAGAAGAAGAAGAAGGGCACGGCUAGCUCUCCUCCCCUCUCUAUACGGUGUCUAGGACUAGCUUGGAUCAACCCUUUGCAUGGGUGCCCCGGGGGUUUAUAUAGGCCUACCCCUGGGGGUACAAUGAUAAUCCGGCUGGGCGUGGGGCCCAGCCGUCUGUGUCUACACUCGCCGGCUUCUGCGCCGGCUGCUGGGGCCUGCCGGCUGGUGGGUCCCGCCGGCUGCCGGCUCCUUGGUCGACAGGCAGGCCCCACUGUCAUGGGCCUUGUCGGUGGCUGGUUACUGUUACUCAAUCCUGGCGACGAGGGCUUCGCCGAGGUGGGCGUGGCUACAGUGCCGCCGUCCGGCGGGUGAUCGCUGUAGCCUUACCGCGUCUUGUCUCCUUAAUGGGGCGUCUCCUUCGAGGGAGGUGGCAAGCCGGCUGCGGGGAGCCGGCCCCGUCUCGGGCCGACUGGGGGAGGCCUGGCCGCCUUCGGGCGUCUCUCUGCCCGAAGGGGCCCACCGCCCGUGGGCCGCGCUGGCAGCCCGUCGUGGAUGACAUCAGGGUCAACAUGGCAACAGUGCUACGCCAGACGGGUCAUGGCCACCCGUACGGCGCACUGUGCCAGGCGUGCUCCGGGAUUCGGGGGUGGCAGGCUUUACUGUAGCCACGCCCCAUCACAUCGCCGUUAUGUGGAUGCGGACUUCGAGGGUACGAUCUUGACCGCUUUGUGGGAGCCGGCUUCUUGGAGUCGGCCUUCUCGCGGCCGGCUUCUUGGAGCCGGCCCUCCCACGGCUUUCUUCAUGAGGGCUAAAGUCGGGCCGCCUUCCGAUAGUCGGUCUGGGAGACAGCCGGCGAGGGGAAGGCGGCCCCACGUCUUGGAUUCUUGAGGGCCGGAUCGGCUCGUAAUUUUUUCAGAAGGGCCAGGGGGAGCCGGCUUGGCUACCCGUGUUCAUUUACUCCGAAAGUAGUCCCCGAAGCUGAUCGAGCUUCGAGGCUGACAAAGGGACGAGAAGCUUGGUCAGCUUCCUAUCCUGAGGGGCCGGCUUUGCUAGUGCGCGCCGUCUUCGGAAAGCUCCGUUUCCCGUAGGCGGGGACGCGGGUCGGCCUGCGAGCUGACCGCGCGCCAUCCCGCGGGCCACGUGGCAAGGAAAUCCUGCCAACGCACGCGCGCGACGGGACACCGCCGCAGGCCCGGGCCCGCCACUCCUAGGCCUCGGCCCGAGCGCGGAUCUUCUACAGCCCACACGGACCGCUCGCCUUCCCGCGGCGGUUUUAUUACGCCAUUAGGGUGCAAUAAUCGCGGGACGUGGGGGAGUGGGCGCAGUUGAUCCCACGUUCCCUCACACCACGCCUCCUCGGCUCCGUCGCGCGGGUCUAUAAGUAGGGGGAGCAGGGGGAGUGGCAGAGGCUCGCACGCUCUCCCUCGCUCCACCCCUUCUCGCCUUCCUUCUUCUUCCUCAUGCCACCGCAGCAACCCAUUGCCGCGCCGUUCCGCCGUCGGACCUCUAGGUUCUUUUGGUCUCGCCGCAGCGGGGUCGUGCACGUCUCCGUCGUCGCAUCGUCUUGCUCCUCGCUGCAUCGCCCCCAUGGUGUUGUCGAGCUCGUGGGAUGGCUCCAACGUCCACGAGGACCACGUCGAGUUCCUCCGCCGGACGUGGCGCCUACCGGGCGAGAACUUUGUGCGGGUUCGUCAGGCGCCGGCGAGGGAGAUCUCGCCGGCGCUGGAGGAGGGCGAGCGGGUGAUCUUCCGCUUGCACUGCCUGCGCGGCUUCGGCCUCCCGGCGAGCGGAUUCCUUCGAGCUUUCCUUGAAUUCUACCACCUCCACCCGCAUCACCUCACGCCCAACGCGGUGAUGCUGCUGUCGGCUUUUGUCACCCUGUGCGAGGGCUUUCUUGGGGUUCUCCCCACUCUUGAUCUCUGGGGAGAAUUCUUCCAGAGCAAGCUCGGCACCGUCGCGGGCAUGCCCGCCCCCUGCGGAGCCUUCAUUGCCAUGAGGCGGACGGUUGAGAACAAUCCGUUCCCGCCCAUCCCGCUGAUCCAGUCGGUGAAGCUCUGGCAGAAGUCCUACUUUUACGUGAAGAAUGUCGCCCAGCAGGGCGACUACGUCAACUUGCCGGCUUACAUAGCGGGCCCACCGGCUGGGAGGCAACCUUCGUGGAGCUACCGGGCCAGGUCGUUGUCUCAGGCCGGGAACGCAGCCGUCUCCCGGCUCCGGGUGAUGAUCCAGUCGGAGGGCCUGACCAGAGCCGACUUGGUGGCCGCCUUCGUGGAGCGCCAAGUACUUCCGCUCCAAGGCCGGCCUCACAUGAUUUGCCAGAUGAGCGGCCGCUUCGACCCGUGCCGGCUGAGCACCAGGGAGAUGCCUCAUGCAGAGGUGUCUUACAUGGUGAACUAUAUCUCCAACUGCAAGCUCGCCGAGGAUUGGCGAUACAGCAAGGGGCCGUAUUCUCGCGCCAACCCUUCGCCUGCCGUAAGUUUUUCUUCUUUUCUUCCUUUUGUUAGCCGGCCUCACGAUGGCCGACCUCUGAUCAGUUGGUUUGCCCUUAGCAGAACCCUCUUCUUCCGCCGACGGCCGGGGCCGCAGGGGUAGAGCGCCAGCUCCUCCCCGACCGCACGGUGGACGACACCGAUGAUCCGGACCUGGGAGCGGCCGCCAUGGAAGAUGCCAUCGUGGGGGAGGGUGACGAGGCAGGAAGCGCGGGGCUCGGGGCCGGCUUCGAGGACUGGCCGGACGAUGACGAGGUCGAAGCCGCCCCGCACCGCCAGCCGGCGCUUGAUCAUCAAGGCACGGGCCCGUCUGCCGCGCCGGCUGCCCGUGGCGGCGCGCAGAAGCACCGGGCCGCGUCGACCUUCUUCGGCAGCCGGCCGAAAAAAUCCAAGGCUUCCACGGCGGCGACCAAGCGGGAUGAGGCGGCCGUGAAGGCGGCCCGCUUCCGCAAGGCGGUGAAACAGCCGCAGACGAUCUCGGCGUAAGUCGUCGAACGUCUUGUAUUUAUUUUUUGUUGUCCUUUUCGAUUGAAGCUCUUCUAAACCUUUCUUUGCUCGCCGGGCAGGGCACUGCUUUCCCUUGAGUGAGGUCCUGGCGGCUCUGUAGUCGGGCCGACUGGAGGGUCCUCAGGCUCCUAUCGCGUGGAUCCCCACGCCGACCUUAGGGAGGCCACGGAGCGGAACGCACGGGAGGCGCGGGAGGAGCGUGAGGCGACAGAGCGAAGGACCGCCCAGGCGGCAAAGGAGCAGGCGGACGCGGCGGCCAAGGCCCGGGCGGAGGCGGCAGCCGCGGAGACGGAGGUGGGGGCCUUGCACAACCAGCCUCCGCUGCUCGUCGUUCCCCUCCGCGCUGUGGCCCCCGACAUCCCCGUGCCCCCGUCGGAGGAGGUCGACCAAGACCCGCCGGUGAUGGAGAGGAGGGAGGACCACGUGGUCUUCGUGGAGGGGGCGCCGCAGACGGCGCCGACUGGAGCGGGCCAAAGCGGCCACUCAGCCGCGACGCUGGAGCAGCCGGCCGGGGGCGAGCCGGAGGCAGGGGCCGGCCUCGAGGUGCAGCCGGCAUUGCGCCGGCGCGCGGGGGGAGGCACCUCCGCGUCGGAGCCGCACCAAGCUGCGGGCGCCAGCCAGACGGCGGAGGCCCUGGAGGCGGCCAGCGUUAGCAUGUCCGAGUGGACUACGAGCGGGGGGACGGGCGAGCUGAAUGUGGCGGCCCAGGAGGUCCGGAACCGGCUUUAAGCCCAGGCCGCUUCGCUGCAGCGAUACACCCAAGAGUUCCUCGCGACGCGGGCCGUCAUCCGGGUGAGCCUUCUGGCCUUGGUUAUUUUGCUCUUUUGAUUUCUUCCGUGGGGGCGCGUCACCGCACCCACUGGGUGUAGUCCCCGAGUUCUGAGUCGGCUGCUGCGCAGGCGGCUUGAAACUUACUAGGUCCUGACAACUAUCUUACCCUCGCCUCCUGUCUGAUCUUCCAGGAGUAUCAUAACCUCCGCGCUGCUGCCUUCAACUCCCAGGCUCAGGAGCUGGGCCGGAAAACCAAGGACCUGACCAGCUGCCGGAGUGCGUGCUUUGUUUCGUUCAUCUCCUGUGGGGGCGCGUCAGCGCACCAACUGGGUGUAGUCCCCGAGAUUCGGGCCGACUGCUGAGCAGUCGGGUCGGAUCUUCCUUGACGACUUCUUCUUUAUUGAUUUUUCCUUUGUCUUCAUGCUUGCAGGAGCCAAUGCCGACUUGAGGGGGCAGCUCAGCGGGGCCCAGGCCGCCCUUCGCGCCAAGAAAGCCGAGUACAAUGCCUUGGUCCUGGAGCGUGACCGCCUGGCCAAGAAGUUGGCCGACCAGGAGGAGAGCCACAAGGCGGCCCCGAAGAAGGCGCAGGACAGCGAGGACGCCCUGAAGGCCGAGUUCGAGACCGAAGCGGCGGGCUGGGCUGAGGCAAAACAAGCGCUGAGCGAGGGCUUCGGUCGUAUCGAGGAUCUGAUCGAUGGUAAGCCGCCUUCCUCAUUCCUUGCUUGCCCCUUGCCCCUGAUUUGUAUUCCGACUUGUGCUGCUUUUGUUCUUUGUGCAGACUACUUUCCCGGCUACUCCGUCUUCGCCACCCAAACCAUCGAGGCCCAUCGUGAGGCACGCCGACAGGCGGGGGCUGAAAUCGCGUCGGACGCGAGCCGGACGCUUGAGGAGCAACUCUUGGCGGUCCAAGCCCGGCUGCAGCCGGCCCACCGCAUGCUCCGCCGCCUCCAGCGCACUGGGGCGUAGGUGUUGGCCGCCCUCUAACCAGGUGAAACGAUUCCCCGCACCCCGAGUUGGACUGCCGACUGGCUGGAGGUUGCGGUUGGCCGCUUCGAGGCCUGGAAGGCAUCGGCGGCCCGGCUUGGAGCUGGGCGGGCGCUGGAGUUCGUCCGAGCCUGGUAUCCCGGGCUAAACCUGGACCAGCUGCGCACCUGGCGGCUGGAGGCCGACGAGGAGAUGGAAGAGGUGCGGCCGGCUAUCGCUCAGCGUGCCUCGACGAUCGCCGAGUGCACUGACAUCAGCGUCUUCGCUCCUGAAAUAAAUGACGACGGCGUGGCCCAGACGGAGGAGUGGUUCGGGCUGGACCCGGCAGCGGGUGAGGACUCGGCAGAGGAGAUUGCCUCCAGCGAUGAAGGCGAAGACGACGAAGGAGAGGAAGGCGAAGACGUUGAGCCGGCCGGUGAAGCGGCCAGCCAGCCUCAGCCUGACCGUGCCUCCAGCAACGAGGCGCGUGCUAGCGCGCCCUCUGCGGGAGGUGGUGAUCAUGCCGAGGUUCGCCAGCCGGCCACUCCUCCAGCCGGCACUGCCAUCUCCACCGACCUGCCCGACUCGCCGGUCGCUCCCUUGGCCUAAACUGCCGUCCUUGCUUUUCCUGCUUGUUACCCUUUGAACAAUUUUUAUUAAACUUGCGCAGUUCCACCCACUGGUGUAUUCAAACUAUAUUGAAUGCUGGCCUUUGAAGGCCUUUUGUGUAAAUAUGAUCGUGUGCGUGUUUGGUUUCCAUUCGCGUAUGCUUUUUAUCCUUAGGCUGUUUCCUUUGCCGCCUUCUCCUUUUGGGGAGGCAAGUACUCGAGAUUUCUUAGAUUGAAGCGAGGUGAAUGGAAGCCGGCCGGCCGGCUACUCUGGUAGUUGGUCGGUGGUGGGAGAAAAACCGGCUUUUGUUAUAUUAGUCCGUUAGUCCCUAGCCGUUUUUCGUGUGGGCGUCCUUUCCUGCCUUUAACUCUUGCCAGCCGGACAGCCGGUUCUUUGAACUGCGACUUUUGGCAAGAGAAGGCUUGGGUGCCGGCACACUACUUGUCUGACCGCGGGUAGGACUUUUAAUAUAACUCCAGGCGGCCAGUCCCUGGGCCGACUAGUCGAACCCGGUGCCGGACGGAAAAAGUGAAUGUAAUGACAAGGUCAUAAGCAUGAUAUUCUUCAUUUAUAGAUAAAAGACGGCAGUCCCCGAGCUCUCCUCGGGGGGCCUAUUGUCUCGUACUCAGUACAAAAGUUUAGCGUUAUACAUACUGCAUUUCAACUGUAAAAUCUUCGGAGGAGGUUGGCGUUCCAUGGUCGUUCCGACUCCUUGCCGGAGUCGUCUCUCUUUCGUGCCUUCGGCUUCUGCGCGUCGAUCAGGUAGUAGAAGUCGUUGCCUAAAGCUCUGCUGAUGAUGAAGGGGCCCUCCCAAGGGGCCGAGAGCUUGUGCUGGCCAGCUGUUCGUUGGAUCAGCCGGACCACAAGAUCGCCCUCUUGGAAGGAUCUUGGCUUGACCUUUCGGCUAUGGUAGCGGCGCAGGCCCUACUGAUAGAUGGCGGACCGACUGAGGGCUAACAGCCGGCCUUCUUCCAGCAGGUUGACACCGUCUUCUCGUGCUUCCUUGGCCUCCGCCUCCGUAUACAUGGUUAUCCGAGGCGAGUCGAACUCGAUGUCAGUUGGGAUGACCGCCUCGGCACCAUACACGAGGAAGAAAGGAGUGAAGCCGGUUGACUUGUUUGGGGUAGUGCGCAGACUCCAGAGGACGGCCGGCAGCUCAUCGAGCCAACAGCCGGCUGAACGUUCAAGUGGUACGACCAGUCGGGGCUUGAUGCCGGAAAGGAUGAGGCCGUUGGCUCGCUCGACCUGGCCGUUUGACUGCGGGUGGGCAACAGACGCUAAGUCCAACCGGAUGCCUUGCGUCGCGCAGAAACGUGCCAAGGCUCCCUUGGCGAAAUUCGUGCCAUUGUCGGUGAUGAUGCUGUGUGGCAUGCCGUACCGAGUUGUUAUAUCUGCGAUAAAUGUCACGGCAGUCGGCCCAUUCAGCUUUUUGAUCGGCUUUGCCUCAAUCCAUUUGGUGAAUUUGUCCACAGCGACAAGAAGAUGUGUCAUGCCGCCGCGCGCCGUCUUGAAUGGGCCCACCAUGUCCAGUCCCCAAACGGCGAAGGGCCAAGUGAGGGGAAUGGUCUUGAGUGCCGAAGCCGGCAUGUGUUGCUUGGAGCUGAAGAGUUGGCACCCUUUGCAAUGUUUAACUAACUCCUUGGCGUCAUCCAAAGUAGUCGGCCAAAAGAAACCAUGGCGGAAAGCUUUGGCGACGAGUGAUCUUGAGGCCGCAUGGUGGCCGCAUUCUCCUUGGUGGAUGUCUCUGAGGAUUGCAAUGCCCUUCUCUUGCUCGACGCACCGCUGGAGGACUCCAGUGACACUGCGCUUGACGAGCUCUCUGUUGACGAUUGUGUAUGCUCCGGCUCGGAGUUGGACUUGUCUUGCCUCUGUUUCAUCAGCCGGUAGAUCUUGGUUUAUUAGGAAGUUGAGGAUGGACUGAGCCCAUGACGGAGCUGCGACUUCUUCUAUUGCCAACACGGCUACUGCGACCAAGGCGGGCGGGCUGGGUGGUGAAAUGCCGGAGUCGGCCGCCGCCUAUUGUGUUGGUGCAGUCUCCGGGCCGACUACUGCAGUCCCCGAGCCGGGUGCGGCAGCCCUCGGGUCAGGCGUAACUACGGAAGUCCCCGAGCCGCCUAUUGACGUCCCCGGGCCGACUAUCGAAGUCCCCGGGUCACCUGCUUGGUUCUUCGGGCCGGAUCCGGCCGCGUCGAGGUCAGGCGGCACGAAGAUGGAAUCGGACUCUAGAGAUGGCUUGAUGGACGGCUUGAGGAGACGUUCACUACAAGAAAUCUGUUAGUCCACAUGAUGGAUCUGAUCCGUCAUAGGUCUGUACAAAUCCAUCAUGUAUAUCGCGUCAUAAUUUGACGUCGUACCUUCGGUGACGGUUCUUGACCGUGAUGGGUCUACCCCAAGCCCGCCCCAGCCCUAACUAGGCCCAAGCCUGUGUGAUGAAACAAGCCGUCAUGGAUUGUGCCACAUAGGAUUUUUGAUUGGCCUAUUGGAAUGACGUGGCUGCCAGAUGGACACUGUUUUUCGUCAUAGAAUUUGUCACGGGUUUUAGCACAAUUUAAAUUAUUCUAGCACAUUUUUUCACCUAAUUUUGGCGCAGUACAUUUUUCUAGCAUAAUAUUAGAAAGAUCUUAAUGCCGGUUUUAGCCCAAGAAUAAGUAUUUCUACACAGAUCAUAAUGACAAUUUAUGCAACGAUCAGCCUGUAUUAUAAUGCCAGUUUUACUCAUAAUGUUAGUUUUACACAGAUCAUAAUGCCAGUUUAUGCAACCAUCAACUGUAUCUACAGAAUAUACAUCAUUAAUAAAGCAACAUUGCAAGAACGUUUACAUCAACCAUUACAACCUAACUAGCACCACAGAAUAUAUUCGAUCGUGGAGAUCCAAUUCUACAGCUGCUCGGCUAUGCCCUCAAGCUCAUCCAUCUCCCAACAGUGAUAAAAGGUGGGGUUCAGAUCUGCAUAAAUUAGGAGAAGAAUAUUAAGUGAAAGUAAGAUGAUGAAUUUUGAGCUACUAAAGUUUGCUAAUUAUAGCAUUCUGAUCUAAGCUAAAUGAAUUACAACAAACGAAUUACAUGCUGUCCAAAAUUCCUUAACCUGAACAUGACUACAAAUGAGAAUACCAAAGUGUCUAUUGUAUAAAAUAAUUAUAAACAUGAGGUUUCUUAGAAUUGAUCCAAAUAGAAGUGUGUCAAACAGAAGUCUAAUCAAGUUGACCUAUAAGUGACAACGUAACAGAACAUAUAUCACAUAACUCCCAAGUACUACAGUAGUAUGAGCUGAGGCAAUAUAAAUCCGUUGAAUAAAAAAAUCAAUUUAGAAAUAUAUAUAAGCAAGCAUCAUACUAUAAUGACAAAAAUAUGAUACUUCAACUGACAACAAAAGAUGUUCCAACUAAUGCACUCUGUAUAAAACUUCUAGAACUGUAGCUCGAAUGGGUUGUGAUUCUGGAAACUGGAACAACGGGAAUUAAGGAGCUUAUGACAUAUAGCACCGACCAUCAGACCAAGAGAAUUGGCUUCAGAUAAGACCUCAUACCAAGCACUAGGUGACAUAAUUUCAUUAUGUUCAUGCUUGCUUCCUGAAAAGAGUUGAAAAACAAUGGAGGAAAGAUUGUCUAAAUUUAUUCAAGGAUCUCAAUCAUUUCAAAGCAGCAAGGAUGCUAGGAAGCACAUGGUAUAUAGAUUCAAAGUUGAUAUACCUUCUUAAGAAUGUUGGAUGUUAGAUUUCAAAGCGGCACAAACAGUCGAGUAUUUUUCAAAAGCCUGCACAAGAUCAGGUGAUGUGAAUGCACCUGCAAGCACAAUAUUCAGACUGUGAGCUACAAUAUUAAGACUUAGAUGUAAAAAAAGUUAAGAAGUCUGUUAGAUGUUAGAUUCACACUAUCAUUUACCAAAAUUGAGAUAGAUACCAGUAGUAUCAAUCUUUUAUUAUUAUUAAUCUCUAUUUCCUUUAGUUGGAUCCUAGUUUUUUAGGUGUGUCUAUAAAAACAGAUCUCUUUAGCCAAUAAUAAACCUAAGUUAUUAUUCAAAAUGUAGUGAUUUUAAUAGUUGCCUUUUCAAGCAUGGUACAUAUUUUCCUGUGCCUAGAAUAUCCUUAUAAGCUAUUAAUUUCGAAAUUUAUGCAAGAUGCAAACAAUUCCACCAGUAAGCAUUUGAUAUAUUGUAUAUUCGUAUAUCACAAAACAAAGUCUUAGCUUAUUGCAAAGCGAUGAUACAAAAUUAAAACAUAUCAUAGAGAACGCACUACACAUGGUAUGCCGAAUAGAAUAACUGAUGAGAGGCAAGUUCCAACUCCAUUGUCCAGAAUAUAUGGAAUGUGGGAUAUACCAAGUGGAUAUUGAUCUGGCUGUCCAACAUUCUCUGAAGGCAGAAGUACGACUACGAAAAUACAUGUUAGCUCUUAACACGUAAAAGACAGAGUCGACGGGAUCAAUGAUUUUCUAAAUUGUGUCCAAACGCCAUACAGAACAUGUAACAAACAUGUUCUGCUUGAACCCCAGACACAAUUGCAAUUCAGAUUCACAUCUUAGAACAACGAUCACCAUUGCAGGUCCAAGAGUAAUUUACAAGGCAGUGCAAAACAGUAAAACGGGAGUGAGAGAGCAGCAUUUACAUUUUGAUGUGCACAAAAUUCAAGAAGUGAGAUACCAUAUUCAGACUCUAAAAAAUCUAGAUUCAGACUGUCAGUUACCAAAAUCAAGAUAUACACUAAUAAAUCAAUAUGUCAAUCACAUGAAACAACAAAGAAUACUUGUAUGAACACAAUGCAUUUUCUCGACUAAAUACAUGCCUACAAAGAAGAUAAGUGUAGGCAUCAAAAUCAUCCAUUUGAACCUGCAACUGUUCAGGAUUAUUGUGCAAAGGAGGUCGGGAUCGCGACAGAGGAGGUCAGGGUCGCCACCAUCCAGCCCCAACGCGCGCGAGCACAUCGAGCUAGGGGGCUCCAUCCAGGAGGUGGAGAGGGCGCGGUGUGGGACGGAGAGGAACCGACGGAGACACGCCGGCGAUGGUCGUGACGCUGCAGCCGAAACCCUAGCCACGGCUAGGGGUCACGGGCGAGCGCUGGACACUGGGAGCGGCAGAUCUAGGCAGCCUGGAGGACCUGGGGGCGGGGAUCACAGACAAGCUCGUGAGUGUGCUGCGCGGUGGCGGACGUCGCCGUAAUCGGCGGGCUGUCGCUGCGCGAGGGAUUUCAUGAGAGAGAGACAGGUUGCGAGAGGGAUGGGUGGAUGGGGGGUGCGACGGAUCUGGUGGCUGGCCCGAGCUGCGAGGUGAGUGGAGGGAAGGGGACGACCGGCGGUGAGCUGUGGCAGGAGGAAGACUGGUGGCAGGUGGUGGGUGGCGGCGAUGGGUGGGAGAGGAGGGAUUCGGGAGGGGCUGCGUAUGAGGGGGGAGAAGGGACCGAACAAGAGGGUUUAGGGUUAGCCUUUUAUACCAGGAAUGGUUAGUCGGGCUUUGACGGGCUUGGGAGGGCUUGAGCGGGCUGUACUGGGCUGUCCAUGACAGUUUCUAAAAAGGUCAUGGGAAAUCCGUCAUGCAUUAACAAGUUUCUUGUAGUGGUUGCAGAGAGACACCGGUUGGUAUUGCCUGCCGAGUGGAGCCUAUACGAGCCAGGGUAUCAGCUGGCUCGUUGUCGGCUCGCGGUACGUGGAGGAACUCGCAUCCUUCAAAGUACCCGCUGAUCUGCUGAACGAGGAAGCGGUAGCUUGCCAUAUUUGCGUCCUUGGCGUCCCAGUCGCCGGAUGACUGCUGGACUACCAAGUCCGAGUCGCCGUAACAUAGGAUCCGGCGUAUGCCGAGCUCUUUGACAAGCCGGAGCCCGUGUAUGAGCGCCUCGUACUCGGCCACGUUGUUGGAGGCGGCAAAGUGAAUUUGCAGCGUGUAUCUGAGCUUUUCGCCUUUGGGAGAGGUGAGGAUGACGCCGGCUCCCAAGCCGGUGCGCAUCUUGGACCCAUCGAAGUGCAUGCGCCAAUGAGUGGAGUCGGGAGCUGGCGGUAGGUACUGGGUCUCGGCCUAGUCGACGAGGAAGUCGGCCAAUGCUUGAGACUUGAUGGCGGUACGAGGCUGGUAGAAGAUCGUGUAGGGGGCCAGCUCGAUGGCCCAUUUCGCCACCCGGCCGGAUGCAUCCCGGCUGCCUAUGAUCUCGACAAGCGGGGCGGUGCAUACGACCAUGAUGGGAUGCUCUUGGAAGUAGGGCUUCAGCUUCUUGGCGGCGAAGUACACGCCAUAGCACAUCUUCUGGUAGUGCGGGUAGUUCUGCUUCGAGGUAGACAGCACCUCACUCAAAUAGUACACCGGCCUCUGGACAGGCUGGGCUCGGCCCUCUUCUGGGCCCUGGACUACGAUGACGGUGCUGACCACCCGGCUGGUUGCAACAAUGUAGAGGAGCAUGGGCUCUUUCUCAGUCGGCGCCGCCAGGACAGGCGGCGUGGCCAGCAUCUUCUUCAGCUCGUGAAAAGCUUGGUCGGCUUGGUUGUUCCACUCGAAGUGAGUGGUCUUCUUCAUGAGGCGGUAGAGGGGGAGAGCUUUCUCUCCGAGCCGACUGAUGAAGCGGUUCAGGGAGGCCAAGCACCCGGUGAACUUCUGGACGUCUCGAAGUUUGGUGGGGAUCGCCAUUCUCUCAAUGGCCUUGAUCUUUACUGGGUUGCAUUUGAUGCCACGUUCGGAGACCAGGAAGCCUAGGAGCUGGCCGGCUGGCACUCCGAACACGCAUUUCUCGGGGUUGAGCUUGAUUUGGAACCGGCGCAAGUUCUCAAAUGUUUCCUUGAGGUCUUCCAGCAAGGCGUUGCGCUUCUCCGUCUUCACCACAAUGUCGUCUACGUAGACGUUGGCAUUUCUGCCGAGCUGCUUGAGGAGGCACUUCUGCAUGCAACGCUAAAAAGUGGCACCGGCAUUUCUUAAGCCGAAUGUCAUAGUCAGGUAGUAGAAGGCUCCGAAUGGCGUGAUGAAGGCGGUCUUCAGGCGGUCUAUCAGAUCUAACUUUAUCUGGUGGUACCCUGAGUAAGCAUCCAAGAAACUCAACAGCUCGCAUCCGGCCGUGGAGUCUAUCACUUGAUCAAUCCUCGGCAGGGCAAAGGGAUCUUUGGGGCAGGCCUUGUUGAGGCUCGUGUAGUCUAUGCACAUGCGCCACUUGUUGUUCUUCUUUAGCACGAGGACCGGGUUGGCGAGCCACUCUGGAAAGAAAACCUCCAUAAUGAAGCCUGCCGCCAGAAGCCGGGCUAUCUCUUCUCUUACAAUCCUUCUUUUCUCCUCCGACAGUCGGAGGAGGGGUUGUUUGACUGGUUUUGCGUCUUCUCGGACGUGUAGCUUGUGCUCGGCGAAUUCCUUUGGAACACCCGGCAUGUCCUUGGGGGACCAUGCAAAGAUGUCCCGAUUCUCACGGAGGAAAUCGGCGAGCUCGCCUUCCUAUUUGCCGUUUUUAGGUUUGCCCCGAUGACGGCAAACCUCCCUGGGUGCUCGGGGUCAAGGGGUAUCUUCUUCGUCUCCUUGGCCGGCUGGAAAGAUCCUUGGGCAUCAUACUCCUUGGGAUCGGGGGACAAGGCCGACUGUUUGCCGGCCAUGGCCAUGACUCGGUCCAACAUCUUAUUUUCUUCGGCAAUCACAAGGGACUCAGCCAGCCGGCUGCUGGCAGCUGCGCACUCGGCCGAUUUCUUGUAAUCGUCGGCUAUGGUGAUGAUGCCCUUGGUGCUCGGCAUCUUCAUCUUGAGGUAGGCGUAGUGGGGAACUGCCAUGAACCUGUCCAAGGCAGGGCGGCCAAGCAAUGCAUGGUAGGGGCUCUCCAGGUCCACCACUUCAAACCAGAUCGCUUCCCGUUGGAAAUGAUACUUGUCCCCAAAGAGUACAUCGAUCUUGAUCUUGCCAAUGGGUGCGCAGGACAGGCCAGGUACAAUGCCAUGGAACACAGUCCGAGUAGGCAUGAGUUGCUUCGUCUUGACGUUCAGCUUCUCCAGGGUGUCACGGUACAGAAUGUUGAUGCUGCUCCUACCGUCUAUCACUACGCGGGAGAAACGGGCGGCGCGUUUGUCCAUUGCAAGGGUGGCAUCCAAAACCAACGCAUAAGAGCCGGGAGAUGGCAUCACCUCUGGGUGGUCGGCCCGGCUCCAGCUGAUAGGUUUUUCUGACCAGUGCAUGUGCUCGGCAGGGUUGGCAGCGACCAUGCUGACUUCCUGGUACUCUCGGCGUCUGCCGCGCCGGUCUUCGGGCUAGCUUGUAAAGACGACAUAGGCGGCAUGCUCGUCGGGGAACUCAUCGUGCACGGCUCCGACUGCAGGCCGAGCGGUCGGCGACUGCGGAGCCGGAGACGGCGAACCGGCAGGCGGAGGCGGCGCGAGCCCUUCGCCUUUGGAGAUUCGGGUGAGCCAGUGGCACUUCCGGGUUGUGUGGUUGGACGGCUUCGCGCCACUGUGGAACUUGCAUGGGGCGUCAAGAGUUUGCUCGUAGGAGAAGGCCGGCCGCCAAGCUGGCUUGCCGCCCCUCUGCUUCUUGGGUGUGGGCCGCCCUUCGGGCUGCUCGUCUUCGACUGUGGCCACCUGCCGACUGGUGGAGGACGGCACGGGGCCCUUGCGCUUGUGGUCGUUCUGGUGUGGGCGUCGGCUGGAGUCCCCAGCCGGCGUCUUGGGCGCCGGGUUGAGUACUUUCCUGGACGCGUCUACCCGGAGUUCGGUCUUCAUUGAGGAGUCGGCGGUGGCGUACUUGUCCGCUAUGACCAGAAGCUCGUCGAGGGUAGUCGGCUCGUCGCAAAGGAGUUUGUGCUUGAGGAGGGUGCCUUCUCGGCACCCGGCAGUGAAGUAUUCUAUGGCUUGCACCUCGUGCACCCCUUCGCAACAGUUGCGGAGCUCGGCCCAACGCGUGAGGUAGUCACGAGUGGACUCGGCGGGGCCUUGUACACACAAGGAGAGCUGUUUGGGCUUGGGAGCCCGCUUGUAGGUGCUGGUGAAGUUGCGGACGAAGGCUUCUGUGAAGUCUAGCCAGCUGUUGAUGUUGUAUGGCUUGAGGCUGUUGAGCCAGGUCCGCGCUGUGCCUUGCAGCAUGACGGCCACGUACUUCACGGCAACGCGCCUGUUGCCGUUUGCUAUACUAACCGCCGUGGAGUAGUCGAUCAACCAAUCUUCCGGCUUCACGGAGCCGUUGUACUUGGGUGUGUCUCUUGGGAGCGAGAACCCUUUGGGGAAAGGCUCGUCGCGGAUGCGGGGGCCGAAGCAAGGUGGGCCGACAUCAUCUUCUUCUUCCAGCGCCAGGGAUCGCGCUAGGCGGUCGAUCCGAUGGCGGGCGUCGUUCUCGCCGACUCCUUCGCGGCCACCUAGUCGGCCGCUGAGAGUCGGAUGUGCAACAGGCGGUGCGGUGGGAUGUCUCUCCACAUGGGGCCGAGGCGGAGGCGGGUUGCCCCGCCACUCCACGGCCCGGGGAUGGCCUUCUGCGUCUCGCUCGAUGGAGAUUCGGGUUCGGCUUCGGCUGGCAGCCGACUCUUUCUCGUGCCGCGCGCGGGUUUUACCCAUAGUCGGCGUCCGAGACGUCGCGCCAUGAUCUCGGCGCGGGGGAGGGCUUUCCGCACGGGCGUCGGCUUCGUGCCGCUGCGCGGCCGCAUCGAUUAGCUGCUGGAUGCGUCUGGUCAUGUGAGGGAGUUCUUCGGCCCCCAAUCCGUCUAGCUCGUCUACGGCCGCCUGGGCGGCGCACAGGUUCUCGAGUGGAGUGGCGUAGACUGGGCGGUCGACUCCUAGCGUGUCGGCGACGAUAGCGCCGCGCUGUUUGACAACGCCGGCCCGGCUGGGCCCGCCUGGGGGCGGCGUGCCAAAGGCGGCGCGGUCGGCUUCGCGCCGGUGGGCCUUAGUGAGGCGUCUCAUGGAAACCAACUUCCGGCCCUCCGCGAGGAGGGCGAGGCGGCGAGCCUCCAGUGCUUCAGCAUCGGCAUCGGCCGGGAGGGGGAUGGACAAGUUGUGGACCGCCGCAUGCGGGGCGUCGUGGGCGCUCUCGCCAGAAGAGCCGCCGUGCCCAAUGACCAUCACCUCGGUGGUGACAGCGUCGCGGCCAUCGGCACGGGGAAGCGGGUCGUUGUAGAUCGUGACAUCGGUGGGGAAGGUGUCGACCGAAGCCGUGUCGGAGUCAACAGGCAUCGGAUCGGUGGAGCCAAACGACUCCAAGUCCGCAGCAGGCUCGCCGGAGACGUGGAGCUGGCCGAGGAGAUCGGCGAGGCCGUCGGUGCCCGCGUCAGAGGCGAGCUCGUCGGAGAUGACGGUCUUGUCAAGGAGAUCGGCGAGGCCGCUCGCUGCGCAGACGUUGGUGACGCCUUGCAGCGCAUCGUGGCAAGCGGCGUGCCGGGCUGGCUACGCUCGCUGGGGAGGAAGAGGGUUCCCGUCCAGAACAGGUCUCCGGACGAUGGUGCACCUGGCCCCACGGUGGGCGCCAAAUGUCGGGUGGUAGGUGCGACAUAUGCCAACGGGUGGCUUAUCAUUGUGGGUGCCAGUAAGACGUCGCCGGUGCCUGGAAGCGGGAUGAGGCGAAGACAUGCACGCCGGCGAAUCUUACCCAGCUUCGGGGCUCUCCGUGGAGAUAACACCCCUACUGCUGCUCUGCGGGGUCUCCGCAUGAUCACUGGAUGAACAAGCAGAUACACAAUGCUCCUUGAGCUGUUUCGUGAGAAGAAGAAGAAGGGCACGGCUAGCUCUCCUCCCCUCUCUAUACGGUGUCUAGGACUAGCUUGGAUCAACCCUUUGCAUGGGUGCCCCGGGGGGUUUAUAUAGGCCUACCCCCCGGGGGUACAAUGGUAAUCCGGCUGGGCGUGGGGCCCAGCCGUCUGUGUCUACACUCGCCGGCUUCUGCGCCGGCUGCUGGGGCCUGCCGGCUGCCGGCUCCUUGGUCGACAGGCAGGCCCCACUGUCAUGGGCCUUGUCGGUGGCUGGUUACUGUUACUCAAUCCUGGCGACGAGGGCUUCGCCGAGGUGGGCGUGGCUACAGUGCCGCCGUCCGGCGGGUGAUCGCUGUAGCCUUACCGCGUCUUGUCUCCUUAAUGGGGCGUCUCCUUCGAGGGAGGUGGCAAGCCGGCUGCGGGGAGCCGGCCCCGUCUCGGGCCGACUGGGGGAGGCCUGGCCGCCUUCGGGCGUCUCUCUGCCCGAAGGGGCCCACCGCCCGUGGACCGCGCUGGCAGCCCAUCGUGGAUGACAUCAGAUUCAACAUGGCAACAGUGCCGCGCCGGACGGGUCAUGGCCACCCGUACGGCGCACUGUGCCAGGCGUGCUCCGGGAUUCGGGGGUGGCAGGCUUUACUGUAGCCACGCCCCGUCACAUCGCCUUUAUGUGAAUGCGGACUUCGAGGGUACGAUCUUGACCGCUUUGUGGGAGUCGGCUUCUUGGAGUCGGCCUUCUCGCGGCCGGCUUCUUGGAGCCGGCCCUCCCACGGCUUUCUUCAUGAGGGCUAAAGUCGGGCCGCCUUCCGAUAGUCGGUCUGGGAGACAGCCGGCGAGGGGAAGGCGGCCCCACGUCUUGGAUUUUUGAGGGCCGGAUCGGCUCGUAAUUUUUUCAAAAAGGCCAGGAGGAGCCGGCUUGGCUACCCGUGUUUAUUUACUCCGACAGUACAACUCAGAGGAUAUUACCUUAGCAGCGGAAGCUUUGAUUCGAAAUUGUACUGGACCUUGUCAGUCUGAUUGUUUAUUUUCUCUUAUGUUUUUCCUUCCUUUCUCUUGGUGGACGUGUAAUAGAGAAGCAUCAUCAAUAACAACAUGCCGCCUCAUCUCUCCAUAGCAGCAAGGUACCACACGCAACCAGCAGGACUGAGCUCGUGCGCCGCCGUGAAUAAUGGCAGGCGCAUCUAUCGGAAGGGACAUGGCACCGAUGCGGUGAAUCUCAUGCCGCAGUGGGCGGCGGAGAGAUCCGAGGCGGCCAGGGGCGUGGCGACCUCGGCGGUGGGGACGAGGGUUUGUUGAGAUUAAUGCGUGAUUUCAAAACAGACGAGAGAUUACGUGAUCUCGGAAGCACUCAGCCGUGAGAUUAAAAAUGAAUCGACGUCGCUCGACCAGUCUGACGAAUGUCUCCUAUCACACGUCGGGGAGGAAGUGUUUCCCUUUCUUUAUUAUAAUUCGGAAUGUAUAUUUCUGUUACAUCUUGCUAGCCAGAAUAUGGCAGUUUCUACACAAAGCCCAAAAAUAACAGUAUGCAAUAUAAAGUGUGGUAAACUGGCAAAGGUCAUCAACUUUUUUUUGGCAAACUUGCAAAGAUCAUCAACUUACUUAGUUAGACAUCUUUUUAAUCAUUUUUAACACAGUUUAAUUACAAAUGCUUACAUAGAUGCACAUAUACUGCUGGAAUUUAGUCUAUUUUGGGCAGCCAAUAACUAUUUCAGAAAUUCUUAAUAAAUCCUAGAGGCCCACUUAGCCCAUUUGUGCAAGGCAAGGGAUACUACUAAAGUUUAGUCCCAUAUUGCUAGUUUAGUGGGAGUUGGACCUCCUUAUACGGAAGGUUUUUUCCCCACUUGUACGAGCAUGAGAACAAGAGGGAUAUCCACGCGCGCUCCUCCUCCGCCGCCACGCCUCGCCUCGUCACGACGCGGGUUGCGGGAAUGAGCCGAUGUCUAAAUUUUUGCCACGCACUACGGGUAUACGAGAGGUCACUCGGGAGCUGAAAAGUUUUUGCUGUAGUGGAUAUUGAAUAUGAACGCUGCACCCUUCGGCUGCUGCCUGUUCGUUUCAUCUCCCGCAUUCCCUUCAGCUCCCGGCACAGCCUCUCGCCUCCUUCUCUUGCGCCUAUAAAAGGGAGGUCGCUCCUCUCAGAGAGACGCACCAGAACUUCUCCUUCCUCUCGCCACCAGUUCCAAUCUCUGAGCUGCUGUUGUCUUCCUCAUCCCGGCUUGCGGCGUGCACCGCAGGUCGGGACAGUAGGCCUCCGAAACCGCACCUCUUUGAGUCCUGUACGGGAGAAUGGUGAUAAGGUUUUUGGGGAGCGCUCUACGCGACUACUGACUGACUCCUUCGUCACGGACGCCCCGGACUCCGACGACUACUUCCCCGACGACGACUUCUUCCCCGACGUUGACAACCUCCUCGACGACAUGGCUGGCGAGGACACCGACCCCAAGUCCAGUGCUACUACUGCUGCUGUCCCGUAUGUGUUCUUCUUUCUGUUAGAUACCCUGCCACAGUUUCUCGUACUAAUACUUGCCCUAAAUAUGUUAGGUUCUACCUCAUAUAUGCAACUAGUUCUACUGUCUGCUAUAGAUAUGAUAAGCUGCGGUUCAUAUAUGCAGAAGCUAUUUUCCUUCUCCCUGUCAGAAGGCAUGACUUGUUUUAUCUCUACUAUAUUAGUCAUGCUUUAUCUAGUAUUUCUGUUAAUAAAAUCAUUCGGUAAAUUGCUCAUAUUUCCAACAAUCCAAAAACCUUAUUAUAGGCAAUUUACCCCGAGUGGUUUUGCUGCUUCCAUGAGACCUCCUAUGUUUGAGGGUAUCCACUAUAAGAGGUGGCGCGUGAGAGCAGUCUUAUGGUUUCAAACCAUGAGUUGCUAUGACGCCACUCUCAGCAAACCUGAAGGAGAGCUUGAUGCUCAACAGGCACAAGCUUUUCAGAAAAUGGAUACUCUGUUUAAGGCUGCUCUUUUGAGUGUUCUUGGUGAGAACAUAGUUGAUGCUUAUGCGUUAAUUGAUAAUGGAAAAGAUAUGUGGGAUGCACUCGAGGCCAAGUUUGGGGUCUCGGAUGCUGGCACUGAGCUGUACAUCAUGGAACAAUUCUAUGAUUAUAGGAUGACUGAAGAGCGCUCCGUGGUUGAGCAAGCUCAUGAGAUACAGUCAUUUGCUAGAGAACUUGAGCACUUCAGUUGUAUGCUACUGGACAAGUUUGUUGCUGGAGGUAUCAUCAGUAAGCUUCCUCCUUCAUGGAGGAACUUUGCUACCUUGCUGAAGCAUAAGAGGCAGGAGUUUUCCGUCCCGGAUCUCAUUGGCACUCUUGAUGUGGAAGAAAAGGCGAGAGCAAAGGACACACAUGCUCGAGGUAUUGAGGGAGGAUCUAGUGCCAAUGUGGUACAGAAGAAGAACUUUCAGCCACACAAGUUCAAGAACAAGGGCAAGUUUGAUGGAAAAGCAAAGUUUGAUGGGAAGAACAAGGCUGUGCAACACACGAACUUCAAGAAGAAGAAUGACAAGAAGAAAGGUGCUUUUCAUGUGUGUGGGGAUCCUGAUCAUUGGGCUCCUAGUUGCCCUAAUCGCUAUGACAAGCGUCAUCCUGGGAAAGGCGGCAAGACCGCUAAUGUUGUCAUUGGAGACACUGACAUGAAGGAUGCUGGGUAUGGUAUAUUUCCCACUAUUCUUUCAGUAUGUCAUUCUCCUGACUGGUUGAUUGACACGGGUACUAAUGUGCAUGUAUGCGGUGAUAUUUCCAUGUUUUCGUCUUAUCAGACCGCAGGGACUUCAACCGUGCUGAUGGGCAACGGUUCAAGUGCUUCUGUUCGUGGUGUUGGCACGGUCGAUCUGAAGUUUACUUCGGGGAAGAUCGUGCGGCUGAAAAACGUGCAUUAUGUCCCCUCCGUCAAUAAAAAUCUUGUUAGCGGAUCUCUUCUGUGUAGAGAUGGCUACAAGCUUGUCUUUGAGUCGAAUAAAUUUGUAAUAUCCAAGUAUGGAACCUUUGUUGGUAAAGGCUAUGAGUCAGGAGGCUUGUUUCGUUUAUCCUUAUCAGACGUUUGCAAUAAAGUUGUUAAUCAUAUUUGCAACGAUAGUGAAUCCAAUGUGUGGCAUUCACAUCUUUGUCAUGUUAACUUUGGUUGCAUGUCGCGACUAGCGAAGUUGAACUUAAUCCCUAGUUUCACCACUGUCAGGGGAUCUAAGUGUCAAGUGUGUGUGCAAACUAAGCAACUUCGUAAGUCUCACACGACUGCGGAAAUAAGAAAUCUUGCACCACUAGAGCUCAUACAUUCAGAUCUAUGUGAAAUGAAUGGUGUGUUGACAAAAGGUGGAAAGAAAUAUUUCAUGACGUUAAUUGAUGACUCCACUAGAUACUGCCGUGUGUAUCUUCUGAAAUCUAAGGAUGAGGCUUUGAACUUUUUCAAGAUCUAUAAAGCUGAAGUAGAAAACCAACUUGAUCGAAAAAUCAAGAGGCUUAGGUCCGACCGUGGUGGAGAGUAUUUUUCCAAUGAGUUUGAUGCUUUUUGUGCGGAACAUGGUAUAAUCCAUGAGAGGACUCCUCCCUACUCACCUCAGUCAAAUGGGGUGGCCGAAAGAAAGAACCAUACUCUAACUAAUUUGGUUAACGCCAUGUUAGAUACAUCGGGUCUCUCCAAGGCAUGGUGGGGGGAGGCGAUAUUGACAGCAUGUCAUAUUCUGAACCGAGUCCCCACAAAGAACAAAGAGAUAACUCCAUUCGAGGAAUAGGAGAAGAAAAGGUUAAAACUCUCUUAUCUGCGAACAUGGGGUUGUUUGGCGAAAGUCAAUGCUCCAAUUUCAAAGAAGCGGAAGCUUGGACCAAAGACUGUGGAUUGUGUUUUCUUGGGAUAUGCUUUUCAUAGCAUUGGCUAUAGAUUCUUGAUUAUAAAAUCUAAGGUACCUGACAUGCAUGUCGGUACAAUCAUGGAGUCGAAUGAUGUGACUUUCUUUGAAGAUAUCUUUCCCAUGAAGGAUAUGGCUACCUCAUCUAAUCAGGAGAUGCCUAGUUCAUCAAAUCAGGAACCAGUUACAAUUACCAAACCUGUCAUUUCGAUAGAACACUUUGAAAGUCCUGUGGAGGAGAACAAUGAAGUUCCUGCUAGGAGCAAGAGACAAAGGAUUAUAAAGUCCUUUGGUGAUGAUUUUCUUGUGUAUCUCAUAGAUGACACUCCCAGUUCUAUUUCAGAGUCCUAUGCAUCUGAAGAUGCUGACUACUGGAAGGAAGCGAUUCGUAGCGAGAUGGAUUCCAUCUUGGCGAAUGAAACCUGGGAGAUAACUGAUUGUCCUUAUGGGUGCAAACCUAUAGGAUGCAAAUGGGUAUUCAAGAAGAAGUUUAGGCCUGAUGGUACUAUUGAGAAGUACAAGGCUCGGCUCGUGGUUAAGGGUUAUACCCAAAAGGAAGGUGAAGACUUCUUUGAUACUUACUCACCUGUGGCUCGACUGACCACUAUUCGAGUUCUACUUUCACUAGCUGCCUCGCAUGGUCUUCUCGUUCAUCAAAUGGAUGUUAAGACUACUUUCCUAAAUGGAGAGUUGGACGAGGAAAUUUAUAUGGAACAACCAGAUGGGUUUAUACUAGAUGGUCAGGAAGGGAAAGUGUGCAAGUUGCUAUCUUUGUACGGACUUAAGCAAGCACCCAAACAGUGGCAUGAGAAGUUUGAAAGAACUUUAACAGCUGCAGGCUUUGUUGUGAACGAAGCUGACAAAUGUGUGUACUAUCGCCAUGGUGGGGGCGAGGGAGUUAUCUUGUGCUUGUAUGUUGAUGACAUACUGAUUUUCAAAACAAAUCUGAAUGUUAUUAAGAAGGUCAAGGAUUUCCUAUCUCGUUGUUUUGAGAUGAAGGAUUUAGGAGUGGCUGAUGUCAUUCUGAACAUCAAGUUGUUGAGAGACGAUGAUGGUGGGAUUACAUUGCUUCAAUCUCACUAUGUGGAAAAGAUCUUGAGUCGCUUUGGCUAUAGUGACUGCAAGCCCUCUUCAACACCAUAUGAUGCGAGUGUGUUACUACAAAAGAAUUGAAGAAUUGCUAGAGAUCAAUUGAAAUAUUCUUAGAUUAUUGGCUCGCUUAUGUACUUAGCAAGUGCUACAAGACCUGACAUCUCUUUUGCUGUUAGCAAACUGAGUCGGUUUGUCUCAAAACCAGGAGAUGUGCAUUGGAAUUAUGGAAUUCACUACACCAGGCACCCAAAGGUGCUUGAAGGGUAUAGUGACUCAAACUGGAUCUCAGAUGCUGAUGAGAUAAAGGCCACGAGCGGUUAUGUAUUCACUCAUGGAGGUGGCGCUGUUUCUUGGAAGUCUUGCAAGCAGACCAUCUUAACGAGGUCAACAAUGGAAGCAGAACUCACAACACUAGAUACAGCUAUGGUCGAAGCAGAUUGGCUUCGCCGGCUCUUGAAUGACUUGCCGGUUGUUGAGAAACCUGUACCGGGUAUUCCUAUGAACUGCGACAAUCAAACUGUGAUCACGAAAGUGAGCAGCUCAAAGGAUAAAAUGAAGUUAUCAAGACACGUUUAGAGAAGGUUAAAGUCUGUCAGAAAAUUGAGAAACUCUGGAGUUAUUGCAUUGGAUUAUAUCCAAACGUCUAAAAAUCUGGCAGAUCCUUUUACUAAGGGUCUAUCACGUAAUGUGAUAGAUAAUGCAUCAAGGGAGAUGGGUAUGAGACCCACAAUAUGAGUUGUUCACAGUGGUAACCUAUUCUUUGUGAUCGGAGAUCCCGUGAAUUAGAUGUGGAAGACAAGCUGUUGGUCAACUUGGAGGAGAGUACCCUUACUGUUAAAAUACCACUCCAUAAAGAUGCAAUACUCUCCUAAUCUGCAUGGCAGGUUGAUGUAUAUCUUAAUGUGUUCUAAGUGGCUCUUUGAAGCAGAGAUGUUGUCCUGCAGAACAUCUUUUGAAGAACGCACCUAUGUGAGUCUGAUUGUUAAACGUCGCAAUCUAUGAGAGUAGGGUUCUCUCUAGUAAACUUAUGAAAGGUCUCGGAGUAUGACGCAUAAGCUCCACCCGCGGGGAAGACCCACGGUAGCCACGUAUCGGUCAAGGCUUUAUGUGAAGCUAGAUUCGCAGAAAACUUGCAGUUCAAGGCCCAGUCCACUGUUCAAGUUGCUUACUAGUGUAGCAUAGAGUUCUAGGUGGAAGUUCAACAUAACAGUCUCCACUGUAGUACCGGUAUAUAAAACAGUGUUUUGGAACCAAAGGCAAAUUUCUGUGCGCCUCUGGGAUCUGGUGGGGGAUUGCUGGAAUUUAGUCUAUUUUGGGCAACCCAAUAACUAUUUCAGAAAUUCCUAAUAAAUCCUAGAGGCCCACUUAGCCCAUUUGUGCAAGGCAAGGGAUGCUACUAAAGUUUAGUCCCACAUUGCUAGUUUAGUGGGAGUUGGACCUCCUUAUAAGGGAGAUUCUUUCCCCACUUGUACGAGCAUGAGAAAAGAGGGAUAUCCACGCGCGCUCCUCCUCCGCCGCCCGCCUCGCCACGCCUCGCCUCGCCUUAUCACGACGCGGGUUGCGGGAAUGAGCCGAUGUCUAAAAUUUUGCCACGCACUACGGGUAUACGAGAGGUCACUCGGGAGCUGGAAAGUUUUUGCUGUAGUGGAUAUUGAAUACGAGCGCUGCACCCUUCGGCUGCUGUCUGUUCAUUUCAUCUCCCGCGUUCCCUUCAGCUCCCGGCGCAGCCUCUCGCCUCCUUCUCUUGCGCCUAUAAAAGGGAGGUCUCUCCUCUCAGAGAGACGCACCAGAACUUCUCCUUCCUCUCGCCACCGGUUCCAAUCUCUGAGCUGCUGCUGUCUUCCUCAUCCCGGCUUGCGGCGUGCACCGCAGGUCGGGACAGUAGGCCUCCGAAACCGCACCUCUUUGAGUCCUGUACGGGAGAAGGGUGAUAAGGUUUUUGGGGAGCGCUCUGCGCGACUACCGACUGACUCCUUCGUCACGGACGCCCCGGACUCCGACGACUACUUUCCCGAUGACGACUUCUUCCCCGACGUCGACAACCUCCUCGACGACAUGGCUGGCGAGGACACCGACCCCAAGUCUAGUGCUACUGCUGCUGCUGUCCCGUAUGUGUUCUUCUUUCUGUUAGAUAUCCUACCACAGUUUCUCGUACUAGUACUUGCCCUAAAUAUGUUAGGUUCUACCUCAUAUAUGCAACUAGUUCUACUGUCUGCUAUAGAUAUGAUAAGCUACGGUUCAUAUAUGCAGAAGCUAUUUUCCUUCUCUCUGUCAGAACGCAUGACUUGUUUUAUCUCUACUAUAUUAGUCAUGCUUUAUCUAGUAUUUCUGUUAAUAAAAUCAUUCGGUAAAUUGCUCAUAUUUCCAACAUAUACUCACUCCUAUAAGCAAACACAUGCAUUCAUGCUCUACUCAUAUGAGUGCGCACCUCCAAAAUAUUGAGCUGGCACAACAUGUUAAGAUUGACAAAGUCACCACGGUCAUAUGUAGUCGAGUGAAGCACCAUGCAUGCACGUGGUGCAGCUCCAUGCGCAUGCACACUGAUCCGUCCUCCUCGCCGAGAACUAGGCCUUGUACUUGGUCCUCACCACCGCAUGGUCCUCGGCUGGGAGCCUUUGACGGCCGCGUGCUCCCCGGUAGGGACGAUGGCGCCAACGGCAGGGCCCCCACCGAGCUCGCAGACGCUCGGUGACUGCCGGUGGGCAUGAGACUGACAGGAUCGAAAAAAAGGUCACCUUUAUCUGCUUCGUUGCCGGCGUUGUGAGUGGUGGAGCGCCAUGGCUUGGGAGAAGCAUUCGGCUGAUCACUCUGCAUGCGCGCAUCAGAUAGUUGAGAGCACUGCAACUUGUUGUGUGAAAAAAGGUGAGCUUUUUUUUUGACGGCGCACUGCAGCAUGAGGAGGAGAUGCCAUGCCAUCGGUGAGGAAGACGGACGGCAACCACGCCGGCGCCGCCGCCAAACAUGGUCCGUCGUUGGGGAAAAAUUAAUUUGGAGGGUCGGAGGUCGACCAAGAAGAAGAAGACGUAUUGCAUCAUGCGUGCGUGGAUGGGUCCCAAUCCUAAUCCCAAAAGAUUAAUCCUCGUGGGCAUGCUGCGCGUCCGUCGACGAAUCUUUUCUAAAGAUCCAUCACCUCGACAACAGUUAGAUCUUGUGCCAAUCAAGAGCCCAGCCUUGUCCUUACAAUUGCAACAAUGACUGUGUUGUGGAACCUUCUACAACAGAAGUCAUGUUGCAGAAACUUCUGCAAUAGAACUCAUGUUUUUUUGUUGUGAAACUUUUUUGCAACAGAGGUCUUGUUGCGAUUUUUUUUGAAUUUUUUUCCUUUUUAGAUUUUUUUUUUGCAACAUAGGUCUGUUGCAACAUUGCAACACAGCAUUUAUUGCAAAACACUUCACGGCAGUGAAUUGUGGGUGCGCCCCAGGAAUGCACGUGGCAAAUGGAGCAGUGGCGGAUGCAACCGAGGGAUCCGCCGGCUGAUUAUUAGCGUUUUCCUUUUCUUAAUAAAGGAUUCAUUGGUUGGUUGGUUAAGUCCUGCACAGCCAAGUUCAUCCACACACACACACACAAAAAAUCAUGCACAGCGCAGCAUCCUUUUCAUGCGUAAGUCUUGCACGACUCGCAUGGGUACGGGAGUCCUCGCCGAUACUACUAUCGUACUUCCCCUGUAUUUGUCCCCGAACUCGAAGAACUUUGAUAUUUCAAACAGAUUGGACCUCAGAACACCCCUUCUUCUCUUCUCCAACAGUCGACAUAGCUCAACCUUGAGUCAGAUUACGUGAAAGAAUACAAGCAAACUUAAAUGAUGUAAGUAAUCGGGAGUGGCAAAUACUUACUAUCAGUAGCACCACCAACAAAAACACAAAACGACCCUGAACUUAUUUUAAACUAGAGCAAAACCAUAUAUGAUCAUAAUAAGUUUCUUUACCAACUUGCAUUAAAUGGGACAAAUAACUAUCAAUUCUGCUAGCAGGAAAAGUAGGGUUCGGCUCCUCUGCAGUCUAGUAAUUACUGUACGGGUACUGUAGCUAUCAAAAUCCGCCGUCCGUUUCAAUCCGAUGGCUCUCCUUCCUUCCCUCACCCUUUGCAGCAGUGGAGGCUCCUAAAGACUGCGACCAUGGCGGCCAGCGGAAGCGCACCGAUAAGAAGCGACCACCACAUAGCCUUACUAGCUGGUGUGUUUGCGUAGUUGCCCUUGCCGUGGCUCGGGUCGCCGGAUGGGUAGCAGUCAAAGACAAGCGCGCAUGUAUAGAAGAUGAUGCUGGCGAAGAGCAGCACCAUGAGCGGGCGGACCAUGGACCAUGGGCGGAGCGUACACGAUCGUCGGCGUCCCGUACACGGGCACAGUGGGCGUAACAUACAUGAGCGUGGGCGUCCGCUUGUACUCCAGCGCCUCAGUCUGGUGUCGGUGUCCCGUACUCCGGCAACGGUUUCAUGUGUCGGUGCAUGAAGAAAGGUUUCCUCACGAGCACCUAGACGCCGUCAACAUCCGCCGCGUCCUCGACAAUGGCAGCAAAGGCGCCCUCGCCUUCAGACAGCAGCGGCACGAUCCUUGACUGCUCCUACCCUUGGUACGACGCGCUGCUCGCCACGCUCUGGAGUGUGCGAAGCACUUGGCAGCGCCACGCAGGCCGGACGGGAGGGUGGUAGUACUCCGGCAUUGACAUCCCGUAGUGCAGCACACCAGAUCCGAUCAUCGGAGUGGUGAUCCACGCUGGCCAUCCAUACUGUUCCAGCAAACAACACAUGAUCAACCGAAUUAUUUCAACCACACACCAAGGCAGUAAGGCUAUGUGGCGGCCGGUUCUUACCGGUGCACUUCCGCCGGCUGCCGUGGUCGUGGUCUUUAAGAGCCUCGCCUGCUGCAAAGGGUGAUAGACGGAAGGAGAGCCGUGGGAUUUUAGCGGACGGUGGAUUUGGACAGCUACAGUACCCACAUAGUAAUUACUGGACUGCAGAGGAGUCGAACCCGGAAAAGUACAUGGUAUAUUAGCUAAUACCCAUGCAAGAAGCUGUCCCAAUACCCAUACUUCCAUAAAGACAACUAUGUGUAUGAGUUAUCGUUGGAAGAGCAAAACCUUAAUAAAAAAAA
This 49718-nucleotide long non-coding RNA is filed under the name Triticum aestivum (bread wheat). RNAcentral's name for it is "long non-coding RNA (TAES_LNC014263)". The record is from RNAcentral. Lineage: Eukaryota; Viridiplantae; Streptophyta; Magnoliopsida; Poales; Poaceae.